GCUGAGAGGAGAUGUGAUAGCCACCUUCAAAUAUCUGAAGGGCUGUCACAUGGAAGAGGGAACAUGCUUGUUUUCUCCUGCUCUGGAGGGUAGGAUUCGAACCCAUGGCUUCAAGAAAGGCAAUUCAGACUAAACAUCAGGAAGAACUUCCUGACAGUAAGAGCUGUUUGACAGUGGACCAGUCUCCCUCUCAGUAGGUGGUGGGCUCUCCUUCUUGGAGGCUUUUUAAGCAGAGCUGGAUUGAGGUUUGAUGAGGCCCUAAGCUACUGAAGGUAAUGGGCCCCUUUAUAUGUCCAGCUGUCCUUUGUCAACAACAAACUUUUUUUUUGUUUUUUGUGUUGAAUAUAUGCUAGAAGGUAAUUUAUGGACCUAAUAGGUAUCUAAAGCCAUUUGCACAUGUUGCCGUGCAACCAGUCCAUGCAGAAUGUAGGCACCCUAUAUAUAGAAAGGAGCAAACCAGUGAUAUUUGAGGGAGCAGGCUAGCAGACGGGGCCCAUGACUUACAUCCUAGGAGCCUACACAACACAAAACGCUGUUGCUGUAUGUAGGUUUUACUUUAUUUGUUUUUUAUCUUAGAUUUUGGAAAUGUACACCCAGUUUCUUUUCCUUUAAAUUUUUUGAGGGUCCCCAAGAGAGUGGGGCCCUAAGCUAUAGCUUGUUUAGCUUAUACGUAAAUCCGGCACUGGUUUUAAGUGGAGGUCAUCUGUCAUGGAUGAUUGAGUUGCCAUGCAGGGCAUGGACAAGAUGGCUCUUCCCUUCCAACCCUUUUUUAAUUCUAUGUUCUCAGGUCUAUUGCCGCUCACUCUGCUGAGGUCUCUGUAUUGCUGGGGGUUGGACAACGCUACAUUUCUAUGAUUCUAUAAAAUGUCAAUAUGAGGAAAACCUGAAUUGCUGUUUGCUCUGAUUGAGCGCUAAAGAGCAGUUUCUCCUGGGGGAAAAGAGGGCAUGCGGAUAAGCGCCAAGUUGCACUUUAGCCGGGGACUGCCUCGGUUUCCCCAGUGGGGGAGAAUCGAUCCCUGGCCAUUUGGAAAGCACGCAGGUUAACCAAAGCAAUUUCAGGUGCUUGGCUGGCAGUGGCUGGAUAAACCGACUUGGACGCAGAUGAUGUUUUUCCUCGCCGCUUUCGAUUCAGCUGUCAGAAUGAAACGCUCAAAUCUUUGAAGGGCACUGCAUUGGCUCCCGGAAAAUAUGCCAGGUAGGAGGAAAUGCUUUGCAAAAGGAGGUGGAAUAAGGUGCAGUGAUUGCAGUUUUUUAAAAAAAUGAAAAUUGGAGAGCCAUGGUAUUUAAACACACGCAGAGAGAGAGAGACAGACACACACAUUGUGGCUGCUAUCUGCAAAGCCUUGGUGUGAUGCAACUUGACCUCUAUUAAGCAUCUAUUCAAAUUCCUCCAGGAUGCCAAAAGAAAGGUGAGCACUUUGCUUCUGAUGGAAGGCUGAGUAAUCUCCCUUCUCCCAGCUGGGCCUCUCUCCAGAAGUGCUCGCAAAAGCCAAGGGACAAAGCCAGAAAGAAAUAAUAGCCCAUCCUUCGCUCCUGCCUCCCCUCCGGUGAGUUUGUCGGAAACUUCCACUCUGUUGCAAACUCCCAGCACCUCAAAGGAAGGGCUAAGCAGAGCCUUAGUUAACCAGGCUGCUUCACUGCAGCAGCCAAAUCCCCUUUCAGGUUACCCAGAGAGACGGUAUUUGUGCUCCUUGAUCUGGAAGAGGCCGGCCUUGAUUGUCCAUUCUCGGCUGACUUCCCACCUGCACUACUGCAAUGUACUCCCCAUGGGGCUGCCCUUGGAGGCAGUCUAGAGCUGUGGAUCCCAAAACAGGCAGUGGGGUUACCUGCGGAGAUGCUAUGGGGCUAGAAAGCAGCAGGAGGACACUGGACACCCCCCCCUCCCCGUUGAUCACAUAUACAAUUAAAGCUCUGGUUUUGCCAGUAGUGAUGUAUGGAAGUGGGAGCUGAACCAUCAAGAAGGCUGAUCGCCGAAGAAUGGAUGCUUUCGAAUUCUGGUGCUGGAGGAGAUUCUGGAGAGUCCCAUGGACUGCAAGAAGAUCAAACCUCUCCAUUCUGAAGGAAAUCAGCCCUGAGUGCUCACUGGAAGGACAGAUCAUGAAGCUCAGGCUCCAAGACUUUGGCCACCUCAUGAGAAGAGAAGACUCCCUGGAAAAGACCCUGGUGUUGGGAAAGAUGGAGGGCACAAGGAGAAGGGGAUGACAGAGGAUGAGAUGGUUGGACAGUGUUCUUGAAGCUACCAGCAUGAGUUUGACCAAACUGCGGGAGGCAGUGGAAGACAGGAGGGCCUGGCAUGCUCUGGUCCAGGGGGUCACGAAGAGUCGGACACGACUAAACGACUAAACAACAACAACAACUGACCAGGCUACUUCCUAGAACAAAACAUCUCCCUUGCUUCGUAUUUAACGUUUUCCUGCUCUUAUCACUUUCAAAGCUUUUGCCUUUGCUCAUAUUUUCUUUGUAUUUGCAACUCUGAAUUGUCACAAGAAGGCCAAUUAUUGUUCUUCUUAUUAAACCGUACAUCUGCGGCAGGGGACAGUUUGUACAUAUUUGGUAAGCAGUUAUGUACGUAUAAACAUUUUAUGCUAUAAAUUUCCCUCACCCUUAUGUUUGCGUUAGUAGCAAUGCGUAUAAAUACUUUUCACACGAUAUUCUUAGCUGCGCGUCCUUUUUUUAGCUACAGGGUUAGACCAUAGCACGUAUUUUUGUUUGCAUGUAUUUAUUUUUGAAUAAACAUGCAGUUAAUUGUUACCGCUUUGAAUUUAACAGUGUUGUUAUCUUCAUUAGCGGGUCAUUCAAACUGCUGUUUUGCAUAAUGCUUUCCAUAGAAUCCUAGAAUCAUAGAGUUGGAAGAGACCACAAGGGCCAUCGAGUCCAACCCCCUGCCAAGCAGGAAACACCAUCAGAGCACUCCUGACAUAUGGUUGUCAAGCCUCUGCUUAAAGACCUCCAAAGAAGGAGACUCCACCACACUCCUUGGCAGCAAAUUCCACUGUCGAACAGCUCUUACUGUCAGGAAGUUCUUCCUAAUGUUUAGGUGGAAUCUUCUUUCUUGUAGUUUGGAUCCAUUGCUCCGUGUCCGCUUCUCUGGAGCAGCAGAAAACAACCUUUCUCCCUCCUCUAUGUGACAUCCUUUUAUAUAUUUGAACAUGGCUAUCAUAUCACCCCUUACCCUCCUCUUCUCCAGGCUAAACAUGCCCAGCUCCCUUAGCCGUUCCUCAUAAGGCAUCGUUUCCAGGCCUUUGACCAUUUUGGUUGCCCUCCUCUGGACACGUUCCAGUUUGUCAGUGUCCUUCUUGAACUGUGGUGCCCAGAACUGGACACAGUACUCCAGGUGAGGUCUGACCAGAGCAGAAUACAGUGGCACUAUUACUUCCCUUGAUCUAGAUGCUAUACUCCUAUUGAUGCAGCCCAGAAUUGCAUUGGCUUUUUAGCUGCCGCGUCACACUGUUGGCUCAUGUCAACUUUGUGCUCAACCAAGACUCCUAGAACCUUUUCACACGUACUGCUCUCAAGCCAGGUGUCACCCAUCUUGUAUUUGUGCCUCUCAUUUUUUUGCCCAAGUGCAAUACUUUACAUUUCUCCCUGUUAAAAUUCAUCUUGUUUGUUUUGGCCCAGUUCUCUAAUCUGUCAAGGUCGUUUUGAAGUGUGAUCCUGUCCUCUGGGGUGUUAGCCAUCCCUCCCAGUUUGGUGUCAUCUGCAAAUUUGAUCAGGAUGCCCUUGAGUCCAUCAUCCAAGUCAUUGAUAAAGAUGUUGAAUAAGACCGGGCCCAAGACAGAACCCUGUGGCACCCCACUAGUCACUCUUCUAUAGGGUACAGCGCAUUAGGGAUGAGUUUAUGGAAACAAAGCGAGGGGUUGCCCCCCCCCAAAAAAAGUUUGGGGAAUGCUGAUCUUGAAGCUGCUGCUAGUGCAGAAUGUGACCGCUAGCUUGGAAGUGGGCUGCCCAAUUGAAUCAUGUGUCACUGGUCCUGAAAUCUCUAUACUGACCACCGGUCAGCUAAUGAGCCCAAUUCAAAGUGUUAGUACUAGCAAACUAGGAGCUACGUGGCAUGGAACCCAAGUACCGGAAAGGGUGUCUCCCCCAGUAUCAACCAUCUUGGGCCUUAGGAGAGGGCCUAUCACUGAUGUCUGCUGCCCAGUUGUCUGUUGCCAUUCUGGGUCCUUGGGUCCUGGUGCUGUAGCCUGGAUGUGCGGUGCGAUGCUGCGUUGUCUGUGGCGGCUGUGUGCAGUGCGCGGCAGACAGCUCAGCAGGAUCCCACCUUUGUCGCCAGUGAAAUAUACUCAGAGUCCUGUAGUGAUUUCAUGCUCUUUAUUGCAGCUUGUAAAACAGUGAUUGAAUUGCCCCCCCCACAACCCUCAGGCUUUUAUAUACUUUAUUUACACAAUGAGUCCCGUCUGAUUGGCUGAUUCUGUUUCCCUCCUGUAGCCUGAUUGGUCUUUUCCUGCAGGCCAAUCAGUUUUUGCAUUCUACGAUCCUACCAGCCUAAUAGGCUGAUUAACUUCCUCCUGGAGCCUGACUGGUCUUUUCCCGCAAGCCAAUCAGUUGUUGCAUUCUAGGAUCCUACUUGCCUAUUGUUAUAGGAUCCAAUCUUAGUACAUAACACAGGGCCUUCUAAGUGGUGGCUCCCCAUUUGAGGAACAGGAGUGCCGCAUCUGCUCCUUUCGUCAUUAGCACUCAGGAGAAACGUCAUAGAAUUAUAGAAUCAUACCGCUGUAAACAUGGAAGGGAGCUCAAGAGUCAUCUAGCCCAAAGCCCUUCAGUGCAGCUAAAGAAUCUCCAACAGAAGGUCAUCCACUUUAAAGCCUCCAAGGUGACCACCCAGCCUCUGUUCAAAACUUCCAUCGAAGGAGAUCCCACUGCCUUCUGAUGGAGUCCACUGUCGAAAGGCUCUCCCUCUGCUGAAACACUGAGGUGAGUGAUCUCUCUGCUCUUUCCCCAGCAAUGAACGUCCUUUCUUCUAAGGGCCCAAGGUGGCAAUUCUCUGUUUGCAGAGCCAAAGGAACAGAGGACAUAGUUUAUAUUUCAACGCAUGGUUGCAAAAAAAGCGGCUACAUCUUGUGCUGCUGUAAAACUUUCUCUCCAGUGAAAGUUCUUGGGGCCUUCUGCUGACAUCAGCCCCUGCUGUGCCCCCAGCCGGAAAUAGGAUUCAUUUUCACUUCCUCCACCUGCCUCCUGACAUUUGACAGAUGGAAAUAGGUGCCUUUGUUUUCCAUUAUCGGAGCUCAACUCAUCAUCUUGUGUGGAGCGGAGACGACACUCCAGCAGGGGCUGAAGGAAUGAAUUCUAGUCACCUUCGCUCCGAAACAUGCUUGUUCUUGCCAUGCUCAAAGGUGUGUGGCAUGUCUGGAGAUAGGCUAUUGUUCUGAACUGGAUAGCAGUACAUGUGAACAGGACCGAGGGGUCUUAGAAGACCGCAAGCUUCACACGAGCAACAUAUUGCAGCAGCAAAACAAAAAAGUCAAAUGCUAUUCUAGGCUGCAUCAAGUGAGGUAAUAAUGUCCAGAUCAAGGGAAGUCAUGUUGUUGUUAUUUAGUCAUGUCCGACUCUUUGUGACCCCAUGGACCAGAGCAUGCCAGGCACUCCUGUCUUCCACUGCCUCCCGCAGUUUGGUCAAACUCAUGCUGGUAGCUUCGAGAACACUGUCCAACCAUCUCGUCCUCUGUCGUCCCCUUCUCCUUGCGCCCUCCAUCUUUCCCAACAUCAGGCUCUUUUCCAGGGACUCUUCUCUUCUCAUGAGGUGGCCAAAGUACUGGAGCCUCAGCUUCACGAUCUGUCCUUCCAGUGAGCACUCAGGGCUGAUUUCCUUCAGAAUGGAUUGGUUUGAUCUUCUUGCAGUCCAUGGGACUCUCAAGAGUCUCCUCCAGCACCAUAAUUCAAAAGCAUCAAUUCUUCAGCGAUCAGCCUUUAUUCUGUCACACCUGGAGUCCUGUGUCCAGUUCUGGGCACCACAAUUUAAGAAAGAUGUUUGAGAAGCUGGAAUGUGUGCAGAGAAGGGCAACCAAGAUGAUCAAGGGUCUGAAAACAAGCUUUACAGAAUCAUAGAAUUGUAGAUUGGAAGGGACCCCAAGGGAAAUCUAGUCCAACACCCUGCAACAGAGGAAUCUCAGAUAGAUUAUACAUGACCCAUUAGCAUCUCACCUCUGAUUAAACAAGGAGAGUCCACAACCUCCCAAGGGAGACUGUUCCACUAAAGUUCUUCAUGACAUUUAGUUGGAUUCUCCUUUCUUGUAACUUAUGAGGAACAAUAGAUGGAGUGGGGUAUGCUUAGCCUGGAGAAGAGGAGACUGAGAGGAGAUAUGAUAGCCACUUUCAAACAUCCAAAGGGCUGUCAUAUGUAAGAUGGAGCAAACUUGUUUUCUCCUGCUCCAGUGGGUACCAAUGGAUUCAAGUGACAAGAAAGAAGAUUCCAAACAGACAUAAGAAAGAAUCUGUUAAGAUUCCUGCUCUGUGUUUGCAGUCAUGAGAUUGUUGUCUAUCACAUGACGGUGCAUGUUUUCAUUCCACAGUGUGGGAAGAGACGGAGACAGGAUGUUUGUGUUACUGCAUUCCAUGAAGUGGGACUAUUGUCCUUUGUUCUUUCUCUCUUUGCUGUCUGAUAAGAAAGAGGCAGGAGCUAAGUCAGAAUGCUCCAAGUGUAUUAUAUGUAAAUAAAGUAGAUUAGCCAAAAUGCUGUGCUAUUGGUUCUGUACUCUGCGGAUCCCUAAGUGUGCUGAUGUCUCUUGGAAUCAGUCGCUGUGAUGUUUGGGCUGAAGAAAGCUUUUGAAGCUCCUGAACGAUCGACCAGGAGGGAGAGAACAUGCCAGUCAGGCAUGUGUCCCUGCCAGGGUCCUACACGAGAGUAGGACGCUCCUAACAGAAUCUUCCAACAUUCAGCUUCAUUGUACGUCCGCAACUUCCAGUUUUAGGACAAAGGGAGAAAAACUUCAAAAUACCAGUUGCUGGAAUCCAUGGGCAGAGAGGGUGCUCUAGUGCUCGAAUCCUGCUUAUCAGUUUCCUAUGGACAUCUGCUUAUCCACCCUGAGAAGAGGAUGCUGGACUAGAUGGGUCAUUGGCUGUUCUCAUGUUCCCUAUCCAUUUUCUCCUUGCCGUGCAAUAGUUUUAUGGACUUUGGUCGUUUUCGUAAAGUGUCAGCUUUGACUAAAGCUUGCAAAUGCUGUCCUUGCAGGAAUGCUUCAGUAAGCCCUCCUCCCCCAGCUCUCUCUUGCAUGCCCACCCAACCAUCUUCCAGCCCCAUCAUCCAUUGUGGUCAGGGGAGGGCUGCUCCUUUUCUAAAGAAGGGGAUAAUAAGCUGGGCUGCGUGGAUUUACCAGCUCAGAGAUGGAAUCCCUCAGAGAUCAAACACUGCCAGGCCAAACCCCGCAGCCACGGACGCUCACGUCAAAACUUGGAAGGAGCUCUUUGCUGCCUUCAGGUAAUCCAGGUCGGUGUGUGCAGCUCUGAACUGCCUUGCACUAAAGCUCUUGUCACUUUGCCGGCAAAGAUAAGGCAGGGCCUAAUCUCUCCAUACAAUUGAACAAGCAAGUACUAAAUUGGCAUGUAGAGUCUACUGCGUGUGUGUCUUAAAAAUGGACUGAAAGAGAUUUCCAAGGAGCUUUUGCCGGUGGCUAAUUUGCUGUUUUCAAAUGUUCAUUGCUGUCUUUUUUACUUAAAACAUUUAAUUAUUUGCUGUCUAUUUACUUAAUAUUUCAUAUCCCGUCUUUCUCCUGAGAUGGAGAUUCAAGGAGGCGUCCAGCAUUUUAAUGAAGCAGUGAAAGACAAUAGCUAAAACCCACUGGAACAUGUUUAGAACUGGCGACUAAAAUACAGUUCGCACCGGCAGCAGCCAGGCGGUCAGUCUUAGUCUCCAAAGGCCUGUCUGAACGAGGACUUAACCUGUAGGUGGGAGGAUAACAAGCCUGUCUUGGGAGGGAAUUCCGCAAUCGGGAAGCAGCCACGAAAGAGGCUCACUCCCUUGUGCCAUCACCAACUGUACUUUGGAUGAUGGUGGUCACUGAGAAUGAGACCCAAAGCUGCCUGGGUUCCAUAGUAUUGCUGGGUCAUGUGCCCUCAUUCCCAUGCCCUGAGCUGCCCUUAAUUGGUGGGAAGGAAGUAGGAGGGCUUUGGAAGGGUGUGGUGGCCUAUGGCCACACUUAUGAGAUUUUGGGAUUUGCUGCUGCCCCAUGUGGUAAGCCACGGAACUGCAUGCUUCAGCCCUUGCAGCAAAGUGAUGUGUUGGGUGGAUGGUUGCGCCUCUAGAGUCUUCCGUACUGGACUCCGCAGCACAAGGCAGGGGCAGUCCUGGAUUCACAGACUUCUCGAGGUGGAAGGGACUAAAUCACAGCCCAGUGUUUAGGCUGGGCUUCUGAAGCAGGCCCUGGUUAGAUUUCCACUCUGUAACUGUGGUAAAGCAGCUUUCUUUACAGAGCUCUGGGCAAGGCAAAGCCUUUCUCAAUCUCCCGAUACAUCUGUAUCUGCCUGCUGUUCUCUUUAUCCCGCAUGCUGAGCAGCAGCAGUUCAAAGAAACUUAACAGAGAUGUCCGAGGCGCUGCUACAAAAUUUAGUGUGCUUUUUAUAGACUGCUGUUUGGAUGGCUUUCAGAGAGGAUUAGGCAAAUUCCUGGCAAUCAAGGCUAUCAGUGCUACUAGCCAUGGCAAAGGCUAUGCUCUGCUUGCAAAGUUGGAGGCUGUGAUGCUUCUGAGUAGCCGUGGCUGGAAGCCACAGGAGGGGGAAGGGCUCUUGUCUCCAAGUCUUGCUUGUGGGGUUCCUGCAAUGGGCACCUGGUUGGCCAACGUGAGGACUAGGUUGGCCAGUGGCCUGAUCUUGCAGAAUUCUUUUCGCGUUCCUAAUACUUGUCUGGAGAGAUGCUUUGCAAAUGGCUGCGUUUCAGUUCAUGAAUUGUUUGGGGAAAUGUAUGACAGUAGAACCUCGGGUUAUGUACCGUCCUCCUUACGCACACUACGGGUAAUGAGCUCUGCUAACCCGGAAGUAGACGCUCCUGGUUGUGAACUUUGCCCCAGGAUGCGAGCGGAAGUCGCGUGCCAGCAGCAUGGCAGCAGUGGGAGGCCCCAUUAGCGAAAGCGCGCCUCAUGUUAAGAACGGUUUCAGGUUAAGAACGGAUCUCCGGAUCAAAUUGAGUUCUUACCCGGAGGUACCACUGUAUUAGUUUUGCCUUUCAUUAUGAGAUGAAUCUGAUUUCUAACCGACUAGGUAUCAGAAAGAACUUUCUGACAGUAAGUUUGACAGUGGAACAGACUCCCUUGCGAGGCAGCGGACUCUCCUCCCUUGGAAGUUUUCAAGCAGAGGUUGGACGGCCAUCUGCCAGGGAUGCUGUAGCUGAGUGGGCUAGAGGACUCUACAGUUCUGUGAUUCUAUACCCUCUCAAUACCAGCCACUCACAGAGAUGCUCAUUUGGGCCCUGAGUGAACAUUUCAGGUGAUAAAACUGGCUGCCCCCAGAUCUGCAAGAAAACCAUGUCAGCCUGCAGGGCAGAGCGAGUAAACACGUCUGCUUGACUGACCCCUUUGGAUAACCAUUUCUUGAAUCAUCCUUCCUGUGAUUCUCAUAUUCUGGGGGUUGGACUAGAUGACCCUUCGUGUCCCUACAAUUCCGUUAUUCCUUCCUUCCUUUUCAGCAAAGCAGCAGGUGAUGCCACGCGCCGGAGCAUCUCCUCCUGACUGACAGCUCCUCGUUUCACUAAGAACAGGGUGGGCGUCGAGUUCAAAUCCCUUUGCAGAAUGGCAGCUCGCCUUAAUUACAGGCUUUGCAUUGCCCCCUGCUCUCUUUCCCUCCUUCAGGUCUUUCAGGUGAUAAAGCUGGCUGCCCCCAGAUCUGCAAGGAAACCAUGUCAAAGCUGCUUGGUCGGCCCCUGUGAGAAGAGGACACUUGAAUAGAUAGGCUGCCUUUAGUCUGACCCAGCAGUCUCUUACCUUCUUCUGCUCUUAUGAAUACACCCUUUACCAGAGAGGGCUGGGAAAGAGACUAGCAUCCUUUUAGAGGGUUUGUCUUACCAGCUUGGGGAAGGAAGCUUCUUGCAGAAGAUGCUGCAGGCUGAAUCUGAGACUUCCGGCAUUCAAAGUAUGCAUGCUGCAACCACUGAGUCACGCUGCCCAGCAGCUCCACCAAAUUCCACCCAGCCUUAUGCAAAAGUUCAGCUGUGAUUCACUUUGCUACCCAUCCCAUGGUGCCGGCACGCUUGUGGCUCCUUGCUCUUCAAUUAUCUGCCAGCAUAGCUGGAAACUUGCAGUACGUCAGAAACAAUUGGAAUUUGCCCAUUCCAUGCUGGGCAAAGCACAGUGGGAUGCCGGGGCCCCGAGUGCGCGCAAAUUCAUUCUUGGUGUUGCAUGAGCCAUCUGCCUCUGGAACUCAAAAUGAAGUACGUGACACAAGGCAGCGGAGCUGAGUGUGUUUGGGGCCCACCUUCCACUUCGGAAGGGGUAUACAGGGAACACUUUUACUGCAAGAGCAAGCAUGCCGCUGCUCAAAUCCCAUAAGAUGAAUGAAUUGUAGAGUUGGAAGGAUCCCAACCCCCUCCAGCGCAGGAACCCGUGAUCCAACUCUGUUUAAAAACCUCCGAGGGAAUCCACCACGGCUCUUGCCAUCAGAAAGUUCUUCCUUGUCAUCUGAAUUCUUUCGUUUGAAAAGGAAAUCAUAGAAUCAUAGAGUUGGAAGAGACCACAAGGGCCAUCGAGUCCAACCCCCUGCCAAGCAGGAAACACCAUCAGAGCACUCCUGACAUAUGGUUGUCAAGCCUCUGCUUAAAGACCUCCAAAGAAGGAGACUCCACCACACUCCUUGGCAGCAAAUUCCACUGUCAAACAGCUCUUACUGUCAGGAAGUUCUUCCUAAUGUUUAGGUGGAAUCUUCUUUCUUGUAGUUUGGAUCCAUUGCUCCGUGUCCGCUUUUAUAUAUUUGAACAUGGCUAUCAUCUCACCCCUUAACCUCCUCUUCUCCAGGCUAAACAUGCCCAGCUCCCUUAGCCGUUCCUCAUAAGGCAUCGUUUCCAGGCCUUUGACCAUUUUGGUUGCCCUCCUCUGGACACGUUCCAGUUUGUCAGUGUCCUUCUUGAACUGUGGUGCCCAGAACUGGACACAGUACUCCAGGUGAGGUCUGACCGGAGCAGAAUACAGUGGCACUAUUACUUCCCUUGAUCCCUUGAAACAAGAUUUUCAAGCAGAGUUUGGAGCACCAUGUGUCUGAGGUUCUUUAGCUGGGAUUCUUGCAUUGCAUAGGGUUGGACUAGAUGACCGCUUGCCCUCCAAUGCUACAAUUCUAUGAUCCUACCCUCCACUGCAGGAGAGUCCACCACUUUCCAAGGUAUCCUCUUUCCUACAUUGAAAGACCUACAUUGGGUCCCGGGACGUUUCCAAGCACAAUUCAAAGUGUUGGUGCUGACCUUGAAAGCCCUAAAUGGCCUCAGCCCAGUACACCUGAAGGAGCGUCUCCACCCCCAUCGUUCUGCCCAGACACUGAGGUCCGUCUCCGAGGGCCUUCUGGUGGUUCCCCCCCUGCGAGAAGUGAGUUUACAGGGAACCAGGCAGAGGACCUUCUCGGUGGUGGCGCCCGCCCUGCAGAACGCCCUCCCAUCAGAUGUCAAGGAAUUAUACAGCUAUCUGACUUUUAGAAGACAUCUGAAGGCAGCCCUGUUUAGUUAAGUUUUUCAUGUUUGAUCUUUUAUCGCUUUUAUUAUUAUUAAUAAUAAUACAGUGGACCCUCCAGAUACGAACUUAAUUCAUUCUGGGGGUCCUUGCACAACCAGAUAAGUCCGCAAUGAGGUGCUGCUUCUGCGUGUAGCGAAACCCGGAAAUAUACACUUCCGGGUUUGCAGCAUUCACAACCCAAAAGUUACGUUAGCCGAAGGUAACGUAACCUGAGAUACUACUCUAGUCUGUUGGGAGCAUCCCAGAGUGGCUGGGGAAACCCAGCCAGAUGGUCAGGGUAUAAUAGUAGUAGUUAUUAUUAUUAUUAUUAUUAUUAUUUCCUCUGUCAAAUGGCAGAGAGAUCUACAUUCAUUUCCCCACUCCACCAACACAACCAGCAAAGCAAAGUUUUAAAAAACACAGAUGCACAAUGCCACAAUUUCCAUAUUCCAUUCACUUUGCAGAAUUCUGUAGGUCUCCCAUCUUUUCUCUAAGGGGCAUUCGAUUGAGAGAGAGAGAGAGAGAGAGAGAGAGAGAGAGGUGUAACAGGGCGUAAAACCAAGAUGCCUUUUUUUCCUUUUUCGGCAGGAAAAGCCCUUAUUUCUAUCACAACCAAACCCUCCAAGUGGGGGGGCUGAACAUCCUGGAGUCCGUCCGUCCCCCCCCCCGGCCACGGACCUGCUUCUCGCAAGGCCACCUCACAGCACCGCUCUUGGCCUCUGUCCCGGCAGGAAAGAACCUUCCUUCUGGCAUCCUGAGCUUGAUGGGAAUGGGAAAGGGAAACGAUCCAUUAACUCAGCCCCUGUGGCUGUCCUGGGACUGCGGAGCUGAAGAAGAGGCUUACGCAGACCCUCCGAGCGCCCCUGUUUUCCAGGGGCGUCCCUGAUUUAGAGAAGCCGUCCCAGUUUCUGAUUUGAUCCUGGAAUAUCCCACUUUUCCUUAGGACGUCCCUAUUUGCAUUGGAGAAGUGUUGGAGGGUAUGGAGUGAUCUGACCCCCGAGGCAUCUGAAGGCAAUCCUGUAUAGGGAAGGAGUUUUUUAAUGUUUAAUGUUUUAUUAUGUUUUUUAUAUAUGUUGGAAGCUGCCCAGAGUGGCUGGGGCAACCCAGUAAGAUGUGUGGGGCCUAAAUGGUAAAAAAAUAUAACUAUGGAAGGAGACAUCCCUAUUUUCAUGGGAGAAAUGUUGGCGGGUAUGCACAUGUGAGGGGGAAGGACAGUAGCUGAGACGGAGAGAGGAGGAGGGAUGGGAGGAAGACCCCAAACCAUGUCCCAUGAUUUACUUUACUUAUCUUUCUUUUCAUAAAAUGUAUACACCCUUGAUUGCAAAAAAAGGCCUCUCAAAGCUGUUUGCGAAAAGAUAAAACCAAGAAAACAUACGAAAAGUUAAGGCAGAUUAAAGUUCAGAUCCCAGUGGAUUGCUUGGUUAGUUACAGUCUGGUGCGGAUAAUGCCAAGGGUCAGUGGCGUAGCGUGGGGGUGCAGGGGGGGCCGGCCGCACCGGGCGCAACAUCUGGGGGGGGGCGCACUCGCACUCGCAGCUCUCUGCCCCUACCUGGCUCACUCACUCUCUCUCACUGCAGUGCUGGCUGUGCGAAUCCGAUCCGAGCCGCUGGGUCGCCGCCCACUGUGGAGGGGUGGGGGCCACGCGUGCGGGGCGGAGAGAGCGAGGGCCUCUCUGGGGGAGGGACAGGGCAGCGGCCGCCCAGCGCAGCGCUGAGCGCGGGAGAGAACCACACCAGACCAGACCAGGCAGCAGCAAGAAGAAGCUGGCAGCGGCGGCAGGUUAGGGGUUAGGGGGCGCAAAUUACUUGCCUUGCCCCGGGUUAGGGGGCGCAAAUUACUUGCCUUGCCCCGGGUGCUGACAACCCACGCUACGCCGCUGCCAAGGGUGCAAGUUCUGUUUCCGUAUGGGACAGCUGCAUAUUCCUGCAUUGCAGCCUGUGAUCAAACUAAUGCCUGUGAAUUAAUGGCGAACUAAUGCCAGCAAAGAAGAAGCAAAGAUCACCAGUGUCAAAGCGAUGAUUCUUCAACAUCAACUUCAUUGGACUGGUCAUGUUGUGCAGAUCCCUGAUUGUCGUCUGCCAAAGCAACUACAGUGGUACCUCAGGUUAAGUACUUAAUUCGUUCCGAAGGUCUGUACUUAACCUGAAACUGUUCUUAACCUGAAGCACCACUUUAGCUAAUGGGGCCUCCUGCUGCCGCUGCGCUACCGGAGCACGAUUUCUGUUCUCAUCCUGAAGCAAAGUUCUUAACCCAAGGUACUAUUUCUGGGUUAGCGGAGUGUGUAACCUGAAGCGUAUGUAACCUGAAGUGUAUGUAACCCGAGGUACCACUGUACAGUGGAUGCUUGGGUGGCAAACAUGAUCCAUGUGGGAGACACAUUCGCAACCUGAAGCGUUCGCAACCCACAGCACCACGUCUGCGCAUGCACGGGUUGUGAUUCGGUGCUUCUGCGCAUGCGCAUGCACGACCACCAAAACCUGGAAGUAACCUGUUCCAGUACUUCUGGGUUUCGGCACAUCCGUAACCCAAAAAAAUGCAACCUGAAGUGUCUGUAACCCAAGGUAUGACUGUACUCUAUCCCAAACUUAAAAAUGGACAGCAUAAUGCUGGCGGUCAACAAAAGAGGUUAAAAGACUCUCUCAUGGCAAAUCUAAUAGAAUGUAAUAUAAACACUGACAUAUGGGAAACACUGGCCUGCGAGCGCUCCAGUUGGAGAACAGCCUUUCCCAAAGGUGUCGUGGGCUUUGAAGACACUCAAACUCAGGACACAAGGGAGAAGCGUGCUAAGAGGAAGGCACGCUUGGCAAAUCCACACCGUGAUCAACUCCCGCCCGGAAACCUAUGUCCGCACUGUGGAAGGACUUGUGGAUCCAGAAUUGGCCUCCAGAGUCACUUACAGACUCACUGCUAAAAUGUGUUUAUGGAAGACAAUCUUACUUGACUACAAGUGAUCACCAAAGAAGAAGGACAAGGAUUAAAUGUAAGGUAUUGGUUGUGUUUAGAAUAGAUUUAUGAAAGAUUUAGAAAACUUAUUGAUAAGACAAAUAAUAAAUGUUGGAAAUGUAAAGAAAAAGAAGGAACAUUUUAUCAUAUGUGGUGGGAAUGUAAGAAAGUAAAAAACUUCUGGGAAAUGAUAUAUAAUGAGAUGAAAAAGAUGUUGGAAUAUACAUUUUUUAAAAACCCAUAAGCAUUUUUACUUGGUAUUAUAGGUGAGGAUAUUAAUAGACAAGAUGUUAAAUUGUUUUUAUUUGCAACAACAGCGGCAAAAGUAUUGUUAGCCCAGAAAUGGAAGCAAGAAGAAAUUCCGACGAAAGAAGAAUGACAGACAAAAUUAAUGGACUACGCAGAAUUAAAUAAAAUGAAAGGAAGGAUUCGAAACCUGCGGGACCAGAGAUUCACAGAAGAUUGGAAGAAAUAUACGAACUAUUUGAAGAGCAACUGCAAUCAACAAAUUACACUAGUAGGACUACAAGAAGUUUUGUAAGGAGAAAUAUAUGAAACAUUGCAAAUUAGAGAAAGAAUAGAGAUAUUAGUUAUGAGAUUUAAAUGUAAUAGUGAAAGUAAGAAAUGUAUAUUAAGUGAAUAGACUGAAAAAUUUUCAGAUGUGAUUGGUGGAAGUCAAAAAAACCUGUAUAAGAUGUAAAAGUAUGUUUAAUUAUUGUUGAAAAUGAUAUGUUAAAAAAACUAAUAAGAAAUUAUAUAUAUAUAAAAAGAAAGAAAGCGAAUCCGUUCCAGGCCCUGCGAUGAUCAAUUUCCCAACGUAGCUUAGUUUGCAAAUUAGAUUCCUGGAAUCGAAUCAGGCAGCCACAGCCUGCAGCUGGAGGUACCACUCCUAAUUGCGUAACCUUUGAUAAUAGGAUAACGAGAACCAGCGCCAAGAAAACUCUUUCUGCCUGGGGUCCAUCUGCCUCGCAAUGCCAUUUCUCUAGACUUUAAACGCUGCUCCGUCUGCCAGGAGAGGGGCUUAACAAUACAGCCCGCAUUAUUUGGGUCAGCUCUCUUAUACUGUGACAUAUACUCGGAGUCGAGUGUGGAUUUCAUGCUCUUUAUUCAGCUCAUAGUAGUGAGGAAUGAAAGUUCCCCCAAAAUAUCUGCUUUAUAUACAUUAUUUACACAAUGGGCCGCACUUGAUUGGCUAAUUCCUGGAUUCUCCUGUAGGCCAAUCAGGUUGCGGAUUCACUUCCACCUGGAGCUGGAUUGGGUGGCUCCUGCGGACCAAUCAUACUGCUGCAUUGUUCUAGGACCAAUCAGACUGCUGCAUUCUGAAUCCUAUUGUUCUAGGACCAAUCAGACUGCUGCAUUCUGGAUCCUAUUGUUCUAGGGCCAAUCAGACUGCUGCAUUUGGAUCCUAUUCAACUCAGUACAUAACAUACUGCCUAGUGAACCUCAGGAUCUGCUCUACAUACAGUCCCCCCUCCCACCUCCCAGCCACUAGUGGAGCUGCUGUGAUGUCACAGAAUGCACAUGAGCAUUCCAGUGCUGCCAGGCGGUGGGGAGUGGAAAGGAUGAGCUGUGGAAUGUUGACAGGAUGUUGGGAGACCUGGGUUCGAAUCCCCACUCAGCCAUGAGGUUCACUGGGUGAGGCAGCCGCUCGCUCUCAGCCUAGCCUACCACACAGGGUUGUUGUGGGGGUAAAUGUGGAGGAAAAGUGCUGCGUAUGCCACCUUGAGCUCCCUGGAGGAAAUGUGGGGUAUUAAUAUUAUUAAUAAGUCACCUAACAUCGCUCAACACCCUUGAAAAACUACAGUUCCCAGGAUUCUGUGAGGGAAGCCAUGACUAUGUAAAGCUUUCAAUAUAUGGAGGGGUCAGUGCUCCAAAUGUCAGUUUCCCACACCUUCUCUACAAAUCUCAGCCUUCUUGGCUGGUUCAGCAAUUUUCAUUAAACUCAAGGCACACCUGCCACCUUUCCAAACAGCUGGAGCUUACCUGCAGUUUACCUAAGAACCUGAGACCCUCCAAGUUUCCCUAUUUUUCAGGGACAGUUCCAGAUUUACAAAAGCCAUCCCAGUUUCUGAUUUGAUCCCAGAAGGCCCUGCUUUAUCUUAGGACAAGAGUCUUGAUACCACAAGGAUGGAAGAAUAAGGAAACCCCGACAAAAAAACAGUGGCAAGAGAAAUUAAUGAACAAUGCAGAACUGGUGGAACUGACAAGUAAAUUGCGAGACAAAGACAACUGUGACUUUAAAGAAGAAUGGGAACCUUUUACAGUCUAUUUAAAAACACAGCAAAAUGAAUUGGACUCCUUGGCGGGUUUUGAAUAAACAUACACAAAUUUAUUGGGUCAAUAUGGUGGAUAGAUAAUAUAAGGAUGUAUACAAUUUUAUAAUAUGCAGAGAACAAUAUGAGAUGAGAAAUCAGAGAGAGGGGCUGAGGGAAGUCCUGGGGGAGGAGGGAGGGAGGGUUUGUUGGGGAGGGGGAGGGGGGAAAUGGGAGGGGGAAAAUAACGAAGAUGAUUUGUAUUGUUGAUUUGUUAUGCUGAAUCUGUUAAUAAAAAAAACUUUUUAAAAAGGACAUCCCUAUUUCCAUUGGAGAAAUGUUGGAGGGUAUGGAAUAAUGUGACCCACCCCCCAGCCAAGGAAACUAGACAACUAGACAACCUUUAGGAGGCAGCCCUGUAUAGGGAAGUUUAUUUUUUCAAUGUUUAAUGUUUCAUUGUGUUUUUAUAUAUGUUGGAAGCCGCCCAGAGUGGCAACCCAGUCAGAUGGGCAGAAUAUAAAUAACAAAAUUGUUGUUGUUAUUGUUGUUGUUGUGGAAUAGGGUGUCCCUAUUUCCAUCGGAGAAACCUUGGAGGGUAUGUCACCGUGCCCAGAUUGUGGGAGGCUGCGUCAGAAGAAGGCAUCCGUCAGAUCUCCUGCUGCACAUUGUGUCCUCCCCCGAGGGCAGGCAAAAGCGAACACGUGCGCCUACGUUAUCUGGACGUGCCCAUUUGGCACCUCGGGGGCCACCUCCUCCCACCCUCCCCUUGCAGCCUUGCCCCAGCUGGACAUCGCCCGCGUCAAGCGCCCAGCUGAACAAAAAGCCUCGAGGGCAGCGAUUAAGAAAAGGGAAACAGAGAGAGCCCGUGUCAAGGCCGCAUCCUGUUGAUCCUCAGCUGUCGGAGAGGACAAAUGGUGCGGCGGACGCCUGGCGUCCCUCUUCAAGGAUUUCCCGUCACGCAGAACAUUGCGCUCUCCCUGGAAGUGAACACUGUAUUAUUAUUUGCCGCUCACAAGACGGGGAUAAGGCGGAGGCGUUGGGGUGGCUCUCCGAGAAGGGGCAGGAAGUCGUUGAUUUAAGAGGUAAACAAAGGAUGGAGAAGAGACAAGUGUUUCUGGGUGCGAGAGGCGUGCCGUACCUCCCCAGCCCUGGACAUCAAAAUAAACUGUUUGCCUGGCCUUGAGAAGUACUAAAGACAUUCUUUGCGCAUACGCAGCCCACUCCAGCCCAGUUCACGCCCAGGUGCGAGCCAACUUUUGUUUUCGGGAAUGUCAAGCGAAGCAAUUCAUCGAGAAUAAAGCUGUCAAGAAUCUAGGCUAGGCCAUGGUGGACGGGACUAAAGGUUAAUCUUGCCCUGUGCUGUGACUCCAACAGGGGCCAGCUGCCAGGGUGUAAACAGGAGGUGAUGGCCAGGAGGUGAUGUUCGUUCCCAACAUCCUUGCUGUUUUGCUGGGGAACAAAAGGGACAAGGAGCACAAUCCUUCUUCUGGACCUCUUCGGAGGUGUGAUUUGAUGUCUUCUGCAGGUCGUCUAGUUCCUUAUCUCCUCAGUUCAGGGGUCGUAUAACUCCAUACCCUCCAACCAAUCAGAAACCGGGACAGCUUUUGUAAAUCCGGGACUGUCCCUGGAAAAUAGGGACAUUGGAGGGUCUGGGAGAGAAGAGGGAAGGCCAUGUGCUCCUCUCUGUGCGAGUGUCAGUGCGCAACGAUCAGUGGUUUUGCAGAUGUGGCCAAAGCAAGUACACACUUUCCCCUUGGAACCGCAAAAACAUCUCUCUCACACACACAACUCUCCACUGGCUAGCUUGUGCACAAUGAAAGAGGGAGGAGAACAUACACAAUACCAAAUGAAGUUGUUUAUCCGUGAGCGCAUUCCCAGGAGAGUGCAAGUUCUCAGCCACAUCAAAGGCAGCACGUCCAUCCCCAGCUCAGGCGGUGCAGCUAGAAGCUGGACAAUUAUUCUGUUUAGCUGGCAGGGCUGCCCCCAUUGUACGGCAGGGUAGCUUUCAGAAGUUCCCAGCCAGGCUAAAUCACAACACGAUCCCACUGGAAGCUCUCCGAUACGAGCCCUCAAGCACUUUCUUCCAACCUUGAUUGAUUGAUUGCAAUUAUUAGUCGCUGUUUUUUUAUUAACGGAAAGUAGCUCAAAAAAAAAGGGACAUACAUUAAAACCCACAUGAAGCUAGAACAGAAUAAAAGCUGAAAAUACAUUCCUAAUAACACGCCCACUAAACAAGGUCACAGAGGUCUGGUAGGAGAGAAAACUUUUUGCCCGGUGCCUAAAAACAGAUAGUGAAGGUGCCAGGUGUACCUCGCUGGGGAAAGGGUUCCCCAAGCAGGGAGCCACCACCGAGGAGGCCUGUUCUCAUAUCAUAAAGGUAAAGGUAAAGGGACAGCAUCCUAAAAAGCAGAGACAUCACCUUGCCGACAAAGGUCCGUAUAGUUAAAGCUCUGGUUUUCCCAGUCGUGAUGUAUGGAAGUGAGAGCUGGACCAUAAAGAAGGCUGAUUGCCAAAGAAUGGAUGCUUUUGAAUUCUGGUGCUGGAGGAGACUCUUGAGAGUCCCAUGGACUGCAAGAACAUCAAACGUAUCCAUUCUGAAGUAAAUCAGCCCUGAGUGCUCACUGGAAGGACAGAUCCUGAAGCUAAGCUUUGGCCAUCUCAUGAGAAGAGAAGACUCCCUGGAAAAGGCCCUGAUGUUGGGAAAGAUGGAGGGCACAAGGAGAAGGGGACAACAGAAGACGAGAUGGUUGGACAGUGUUCUUGAAGCUACCAGCAUGAGUUUGACCAAACUGCGGGAGGCAGUGGAAGACAGGAGUGCCUGGAGUGUUUUGGUCCAGGGGGUCACGAAGAGUCGGACACGACUAAACAACAACAACAAAGGGACCCCUGACCAUUAGGUCCAGUUGUGGCUGACUCUGGGAUUGUGGCACUCAUCUCGCUUUACUGGCCGAGGGAGCCGGCGUACAGCUUCUGGGUCAUGUGGCCAGCAUGACUAAGCUGCUUCUGGUGAACCAGAGCAGCGCACGGAAACGCCGUUUACGUUCCCGCCAGAGCGGUACCUAUUUAUCUACUUGCACUGGCGUGCUUUCAAACUGCUAGGUGGGCAGGAGUAGGGACCGAGCAACGGGAGCUCACCCGGUCGCGGAGAUUCAAACUGCCGACCUUCUGAUCGGCAAGUCCUAGGCUCUGUGGUUUAACCCACAGCGCCACCCGCGUCCCUUCUCAUGUCAUAGAAUCGUAGAAUUGUAGAGAUGGGACCCCAAGAGUCAUUUAGUCCAACCCCCUGCAAUUCAGGAAUCUUUGCUGAAGAAUCCCUAAUAGGUGCCCAUCCUGGCCUCUCUUUAAAAGCCAGAGGAGAGCCCACCACCUUCCAAGGAAAUUCAUUCCACUCUUGAACAGCUAAGUUCAAAUUGGAGAAAUUGAGAGAGAGAGAGAGACACCAGCAGCAUAUCUCUUCUUUCUCAUAUCCAAGAAUGCAAGAAGGGCUUUUACACUCGCCAGAAGCUCAGCUCUGCCGUCACAGGUCCUGGAAGCAUCCUUUAAAAAAGUCCCUUAUGCUCAGAGACUUUGCGCCUGUUCAUUGGGGGAGAUAGGAAGCCCAGAGCAGUUGUUCUUUAGAUGUCCCUUUUAUGAAGAGGCAUGUAGUAAGAUCAUUGAUCCCCUGCUGGUGAGGCUCUCUGACCUCCCAGAAAAGCAAAAAUUUGACCUUCUCCUGUUAGGCAAAGGUCAUAAGACGACCCGGAUGGUCGCCAGAUUUUGUGUACAGAUCUGUAGGCGCAGACCAUCCCUCAACCCAAACUAGUUGCUUAAGAAAAUCCCCCAACUCGGUUCCAUGGGUGACUCUGGGUCAUCUCUCUGCGGUGGCUUAUCUUAAAGUUUAAGUGUCUAUACGAUUAUCGCAUUUAUAAAUUUUAAAUUUAUUGUUGUACAUUGUGUUAAAUGUUUGUUUUCCUUUUGGGAUUGUACUCCCAAGUGUGUUUUAUAAGCUGUUCUCCGACCGUAAUAAAUUAUCUAACAGCCAAGUUCUGUUUAAGGACAUUCAGUGACGGAGAACCCAACAUCCCCUGUCGAACGGCUCUUAGAAAGUUCUUCCUAAUGCUUAGUCAGAAUCUCCUUUCUUGCCCUUGAAUCCAUUGGUUUGGGUCCUCCCCAAUGGGGCAGCAGAAAACAAGCCCUUCGGAUAUUUGAAGGUGGCUCUCACAUCUCCUCUUCUCCAGGCUAAACAUUCCCAACAACUCUCUCAACUUUUCUUUUGUAAAAAUAAAAAUAAAUUUUAUUAGAGUUGUUAAAGAGAAAUACAAAGACAAUUGUCCAUUGGUUUGGGUCCAAGCUUGUUCCCUCUUCCAUGUGAGAGCGCUUUAGAUAUCUGAAGACAGCUAUCAUAUCUCCUCUCGCGGGACGCGGGUGGCACUGUGGGUUAAACCACAGAACCUAGGACUUGCCGAUCAGAAGGUCGGCGGUUCAAAUCCCCACGACGGGGUGAGCUCCCAUUGCUCAGUCCCUACUCCUGCCAACCUAGCAGUUCAAAAGCACCUCAAAGUACAAGUAGAUAAAUAGGUACCACUCUGGCGGGAAGGUAAACGGUGUUUCCGUGCGCUGCUCUGGUUCGCCAGAAGCGGCUUAGUCAUGCUGGCCACAUGACCCGGAAGCUGUACGCCGGCUCCCUCGGCCAGUAAAGCGAGAUGAGCGCCGCAACUCCAGAGUCGGUCACGACUGGACCUAAUGGUCAAGGGUCCCUUUACCUUUUAACUAUCAUAUCUCCUCUCGAUCUACAAGCUAAAUAUCCCCAACUACCUCAACUGUUCCUCAUAAGGCUUGGUUUACAUCUUGUCUCUGCAUCUUCCAGCAGAGAAGGAACAGUGCUGGUUGUGAUAAACACAGAGCGAGAUAGAAACCUCCUCACCUCCCUCCAGGCUUCAACAGUUUGCAGCAAUCCCCACCUGUUCCUAGCUUUUUUCUAUUGCUUAUCAGAUGAAGAGAUGGAAGGGGCACAUCAGGCAAUGGAGAUGAUGGCUUCAGAGCGAGCCUGAGAGAUUUGGCCAAAUCUGCCGAUGCAGCUGGAAUCCAGAGAGUGUGAGCACACAAGGCCUAAUGAGAAAUUAGAGAGCCCAAGAUCAGGAAGGAGGGAAAGAGAGCAGGGGGCAAUGCAAAGCCUGUAAUUAAGGGGAGCUGCCAUUCUGUGAAGGGAUUUGAACUCGACACCCACCCUCUUCUUAGUGAAAUGAGGAGCUGUCAGUCAGGAGGAGAUGCUCCGGAGCGUGGCAUCACCUGCUGCUUUGCUGAAAAGAAAGGAAGGAAUCAUGGAAUUGUAGAGCUGCAAGGGACACAAAGGGUCAUCUAGUCCAACCCCCCGGGAUAUGAGAAUCACAGGAAGGAUGAUUCAAGAAAUGGUUAUCCAAAGGGGCCAGUCAAGCAGACGUGUUUACUUGCUCUGCCCUGCGGGCUGACAUGGUUUCCUUGCAGAUCUGGGGGCAGCCAGUUUUAUCACCUGAAAUGUUCACUCAGGGCCCAAAUGAGCAUCUCUAGGAGUGGCUGGUAUUGAGAGGGUAUAGAAUCACAGAAGUGUAGAGUUGGAAGGGACCCAGCUACAGCUUCCUUGGCAAAUGGCCAUUCAACCUCUGCUUAAAAACGUCCAAGGGAGGAGAGUCCGCUGCCUCGCAAGGGAGCCUAUUCCACUGUCAAACUUACUGUCAGAAAGUUCUUCCUGAUAUCUAGUCGGGUAGAAAUCAGAUUCAUCUCACAAUGAAAGGCAAAACUAAUACAGUGGAACCUCCGGGUAAGAACUCAAUUUGAUCCGGAGGUCUGUUCUUCACCCGAAACCGUUCUUAACAUGAGGCGCGCUUUCGCUAAUGGGGCCUCCCACUGCUGCCGUGCCGCCGGCGCACAACUUCCGCUCUCAUCCCAGGGCAAAGUUCACAACCAGGAGCCUCUACUUCCGUGUUAGCGGAGCUCAUUACCCGUAGUGUGCGUAAGGAGGACGGUACAUAACCCGAGGUUCUACUGUCAUACAUUUCCCCAAACAAUUCAUGAACUGAAACGCAGCCAUUUGCAAAGCAUCUCUCCAGACAAGUAUUAGGAACGUGAAAAGAAUUCUGCAAGAUCAGGCCACUGGCCAACCUAGUCCUCACGUUGGCCAACCAGACGCCCAUUGCAGGAACCCCACAAGCAAGACUUGGAGACAAGAGCCCUUCCCCCUCCUGUGGCUUCCAGCCACGGCUACUCAGAAGCAUCGCAGCCUCCAACUUUGCAAGCAGAGCAUAGCCUCUGCCAUGGCUAGUAGCACUGAUAGCCUUUAUUCCCAGGAAUUUGCCUAAUCCUCUCUGAAAGCCAUCCAAACAGCAGACUAUAAAAAGCACACUAAAUUUUGUAGCGGCGCCUCGGACAUCUAUGUUAAGUUUCUUUGAGCUGCUGCUGCUCAGCAUGCAGGAUAAAGAGAACAGCAGGCAGAUACAGAUGUAUUGGGAGAUUGAGAAAGGUUUUGCUUUGCCCUGAGCUCUGUAAAGAAAGCUGCUUUACCACAGUUACAGAGUGGAAAUCUAACCAGGCCCUGAUUCAGAAUCAAGGGAAGUUGCAGUACCAAUCUAUUAUGCCUUGUUCCGACCACAUCUGGAGUCCUGUGUCUAAUUCUGGGCAGUACAAUUUAAGAAGGAUGUUGAUAAGCUGGAACGUGUGCAGAGGGAACAACCAAGGUCAUCUGGGGUCUGGAAACCCAGCCUUGUGAGGAAUGGUUGAGGGAGUUGGGCAAGUCUAGCCUGGAGAAGGGAAGACUAAGGGGGUGAUACGAUAGCGAUCUUCAGAUAUCUAAUGAAUUCUCCCAUGGAAGAUGGAGCAAUCUUGUUUUCUCCUGCUCCAGACAGGACCCAACCCAGUAGAUUCAAGUUACAAGGUAGGAGUUUCUGAAUAAACAUCAGAAAGUACUUUCUGAAAGAGCGAGCUGUUCGAGAGGUGGGAUGGACUGUCCUUGGAGGUUUUUAAGCAGAGGUUGGAUGGACAUCUGUCGAAGAGAAAUAUUUAUGCCCUGCACUAGGCCCUAAAGGUGUAUUGCAGACAUAGGUAAACUCGGCCCUCCAGAUGUUUUGGGACUACAACUCCCAUCAUCCCUAGCUAACAGGACCAGUGGUCAGGGAUGGUGGGAAUUGUAGUCUCAAACUCUCUGCACAGACGGGGAGCCACUGCAGAGAAGGCCUUGCUCUCGUGUUGCCACCCUCCGGACCUCUGGCAGAUGAGGCACAUGAAGAAGGGCCACAGAAGAUGAUCUCCGGAUCCAGGUUGGUGCAUAUGUUCUCAUGCACUUUCAAAGAGAGACAUGAGAUAUCUCCAUUGCCAUACAAGCAAACAGGUUGCUAAAGGCAGCUGAUGCCACAUUCAGAUGUAACAGGAUCUGCCCUCAAGGCAUUUAUUUCUGGCCGGAGGGAUUACUGCCCUGAAGCAGAAACCCUGAGGUUGUAGCUGCGGAAUGCAAAGCAUUAAUCUCAGCUGUUCUGUUCCUGGAAUCUUGGGACGGGUAGAGCGUGGGGCUUGGGGCUUUUCUGGGGAGAGCAGAGGGCUAGCAUCUCAUGGGCUGCAUGCUAUAUGUGGGAUAAAGAGCUAUGCUGCAACAUUCUAGGGCACGGGCAUUGUUGUCACAGGAGACAAAAGGAUUUUUCUCACUUUGAAGGGCAACCAGCGCCCAGACAGCGGAGUCAUAUUUAUUCUGGAUCAUGUACUUUGAGGUCUGCGCAAGAUCAGUUUCCCACACCUCCUCUACAAAUCUCAGCCUUCGUGCCAGGUUCAGCAAUUGUCAUUAAACUCAAGGCACACCUGCCACCUUUCCAAACAGCUGAAGCUGACACCCAGCUUGCCUAAGAACCUGGGACCCUCCAAGUUUCCCUAUUUUCCAGGGACAGCCCCAGACUUAAAGAAGUACAUUUUGAUCCUGGAAUCUCCAGCUUUUCCUCAGGGUGUCCAUCAUUCCAUCGGAGAAAUGUUGGAGGGUAUGGAGUUAUGCAACCCUCGAGCCAAGGAGGCCAGUAACUAGACAACCUUUAGAAGAUAUCUGAAGGCAGCCCUGUAUGGGGAAGGUGUUUUUUUUAAAAAAAAAUGUUUAAAUGUGUUGUUAUGUUUUUCUGGUGUUGGUGCUGGAGGAGACUCUUGAGAGUCCCAUGGACUGCAAGAAGAUCAAACCUCUCCAUUCUGAAGGAAAUCAGCCCUGAGUGCUCACUGGAAGGACAGAUCGUGAAGCUGAGACUCCAAGACUUUGGCCACCUCAUGAGAAGAGAAGACUCCCUGGAAAAGACUCUGAUGUUGGGAAAGAUGGAGGGCGCAAGGAGAAGGGGACGACGGAGGACGAGAUGGCUGAACGGUGUUCUCGAAGCUACCAGCAUGAGUUUGACCAAACUGCGGGAGGCAGUGGAAGACAGGAGUGCCUGGCAUGCUCUGGUCCAGGGGGUCACGAAGAGGCGGACACGACUAAACGACUAAACAGCAACAUGUUUUUCUAUGUUGGAAGCUGCCCAGAGUGGCUGGGACAAUCCAGUCAGAUGGGCAGGGUAUAAAUAAUAAAAUUAUUAUUAUUAUUAUUAUUAUUAUUAUUAUUAUGCGAUAGGAUGUCUCUAUUUUCAUCGGAGAAAUGUUGGAGGAGAUGUGAGAAGCGUCUGCUGGAUCAGGCCAAUGUCACAUCUAGUCCAACAUUAUGUUGUCAUAGUGGCCGACCAGAUGCCCCCAAAGGAAACCUGCAAGCAGGAUUCGAACACAAGGUUUACUCACUUCAUUCGGAAGGUUCUCGAGUGGGUAGGGGGCUCAUAAAAGCUUGCUGCCAUUCUACUCCACCCCUAGCCCUCCUGGGCAAACUGAAAAUGGACAGAGAGAGGAGGAGGAAGAGAAGAGACCAGAUCCUUGACUCCUUGACAGAAAGGCAGGGAGGGACCAGUGGGGAAAGGGAAGGGGGGCUUGGCAGUGCUGGAGAGAAGGGUCUCGCAAAUGCUUGGCUCCAUCGGAAUAAGGAGGUGGGGCAGUAGAUACUCAAGCUGUGGCCCAGCGCGGCAGAGGGUGGGGUGGCACAAACUGGGCAAAGUUUCUAGUCCUUAGAAGCCACCCUGUGAAAACAAGACAGAAAGGGCUGCGGAGAACAGGGAAAAGCGGACCGAUGUGGGCUGUUUUUGUGUGUGGUUUUAAAUGAAACCCCUACAAGAAUGAAUCUGCCUUGAUUAAAAGUAAUUAUCAGCGACUGUCGAUGACGGUUGCUAGGCUCUCCAUCUGCUUCGAGGGAAUGAGUCGCCAAGUUAUCUUUUAUUAGAUCUUCGCCGGACAGGCUGGAUUGUUCUGUGUCUGGGGAAAGCAGCAACAACCCCCCCCCCCCAUUUAAGCAUUUUGCCUUCCUUGCUUCUACCCCCCCACCACCACCACCACCCUAGUCUGGCUGCAAAGCGAUAAAGCCGAGCUCAUUGCUCAGCCACGAAAGAAAAGCGAGUCCAAUUCUGGCCGGCAUCAACAAAAGUAUUGGGGGAAGGAACAGCGCCUUGCACCGCCACAGAAGAUGCUGGACUCUCCUUCAUUGGAAGGUUUUAAACAGGGGAUGGGUGGCCCUCUGUCACGGAGGCUUUAGCUGGGACUCCUGAAUUGCAGGGGUUGGACUAGAUGACGCUUGGAGUCCCUUCCAGCUGUGCAAUUCUAGCAUUUUAGGGUUCUGCCUUGGUCGGACCCCCCCACCAGGAAUAUCUGCAAAAGCGGUGGCUUGAUCUCUCCCAGAUCUGCAGGUAAUCACCGGUAUUGAUCAACCCUGUGCUACAAGAGGCAGGCAGAAAGCGAAGUCUCACUCUCCACUCUGGGAUGUGACCCAUGAGAGGCAGUCAAGUCCAACAUUCCCUGUAAUGCUAGAGAAGAUAUGCAAGGGAAUGUUUGGUCUAGCCAGUCAAAACUUCCUGUUCCUCCUGGCUGGAGCAUCCUUCCUUUCGCAUGUGAUAGAAGGUGGGCGUGACCAGCACACCACCUCCUCUUCCAUCUUCCUUUCGUCAUGUGAACUGCUGGACUGCUAGCCUGCAGUAACUGGGAUUAUUCCCCAUAUGGGGUAGAUCCACAUGCACAUAGCUGUAACUAAGUCUGCCAUCAGGGACCCAACUGUGAACUGUCAUAAGUAAACUUCUUUUAUUGGCUUUGAAUAAGAUUGUGGCAUCUUUAUUCCUUUAAGAGGGAUUCAAGGGAAUUUACCAGGAACGUACAAUUCAAUCUGAGACAGAUUGAAUUGUAUAAUAGCGAGAGGCUCACACGAGCCUGCAAGCAGCUCUCUGUUGUGCAUGUAAAAGGGGGAAUGUAAAUUCUGCUACAUAAGGGAACUUGUUAGUGCAAGUAAGGAAGGAUAUUAAUAAACAAUAUAUCUCUCCUGCCACCUUGAACAUUCCCACAUCCACUUGUAGCCAGAAAAGACAAGUCCACCCUCAGCAUCUCUGGAGAACAGAAUAAAAUACCUCAUGCUUCUCUUCAUGCGAAUAAUGAGAGUGAAGAAGUGGUCCCUCAAUAUUCCCCUGCCUCCUCCGCUCAUUACUGGGAGCUGAAUGGGAUUUAAUUUGAUCACCUCCUGCAACUGAAAUGGGUUUGUUUUUUUCAGUGAAGAGGAGGGGAGAAGAAAGGUCGGUCCAGCUACCUUAGCUUUUUCUAUAUAUUCUUAAGAGGAAUCAUAGAAUCANNNNNNNNNNNNNNNNNNNNNNNNNNNNNNNNNNNNNNNNNNNNNNNNNNNNNNNNNNNNNNNNNNNNNNNNNNNNNNNNNNNNNNNNNNNNNNNNNNNNAUAGAAUCAUAGAAGAGUUGGAAGAGACCACAAGGGCCAUCGAGUCCAACCCCCUGCCAAGCAGGAAACACCAUCAGAGCACUCCUGACAUAUGGUUGUCAAGCCUCUGCUUAAAGACCUCCAAAGAAGGAGACUCCACCACACUCCUUGGCAGCAAAUUCCAUUGUCGAACAGCUCUUACUGUCAGGAAGUUCUUCCUAAUGUUUAUUAUUAUUAUUUUUAAUGAUAUUUAUUAAAGUUUCAAAGAAAAGAUUACAUAAAUAAAAAGAGAAAGAAAGAGAAAGAAAUAAAAAAGAAAAAAUACAAAAUACAGAAAAAAGAUAAAAAUCUUUCCAUGCCUUACAUUUCAUUUCCUUGCUUCCCUGACCUCCUCACACCUCCCUUUUUUGUGUUCCAGUUCUAUUAGUUAAUUCAGCAAUUCCUUUCCCUCUUUGUUUUUGUCUUAAUCCUUUAACUUAAUAUAUUAUAACUUUGGAUUUUCACCUGUUAACAAUCCAUUUUUACAUACACAUUUAUAACAUUGCUGCUAAACCACUUAACUUCAUUCUGACAUCAUUCUGACAUUCAUUAAUUUUGCAGUAUUUCUGUAAAUAGUCUUUAAAUUUCUUCCAAUCUUCUUCCACCGACUCUUCUCCCUGGUCUCGGAUUCUGCCAGUCAUUUCCGCCAGUUCCAUAUAGUCCAUCACCUUCAUCUGCCAUUCUUCCAGAGUGGGUAAAUCUUGUGUCUUCCAAUACUUUGUAAUAAGUAUUCUUGCUGCUGUUGUGGCAUACAUAAAGAAAGUUCUGUCCUUCUUUGGCACCAAUUGGCCGACCAUGCCCAGGAGAAAGGCCUCUGGUUUCUUCUAGAAGGUAUAUUUAUAUACCUUUUUCAUUUCAUUAUAGAUCAUCUCCCAGAAAGCCUUAAUCCUUGGGCAUGUCCACCAAAGGUGAAAGAAUGUACCUUCAGUUUCCUUACAUUUCCAACAUUUAUUAUCGGGCAAAUGAUAGAUUUUUGCAAGCCUGACUGGUGUCAUGUACCACCUGUAUAUCAUUUUCAUAAUAUUCUCUCUUAAGGCAUUACAUGCCGUAAACUUCAUACCUGUGGUCCAUAACUGUUCCCAGUCAGCCAUCAUUAUGUUAUGUCCAACAUCUUGUGCCCAUUUAAUCAUAGCAGAUUUCACCGUUUCAUCCUGAGUAUUCCAUUUCAACAGCAAGUUAUACAUCUUUGACAAAAUCUUAGUUUUGGGUUCUAACAGUUCUGUUUCUAAUUUUGAUUUUUCCACCUGGAAGCCAGUUUUCUUGUCCAAAUUGUAUGCCUCCAUUAUCUGUGGAAGUUCUUCCUAAUGUUUAGGUGGAAUCUUCUUUCUUGUAGUUUGGAUCCAUUGCUCCGUGUCCGCUUCUCUGGAGCAGCAGAAAACAACCUUUCUCCCUCCUCUAUGUGACAUCCUUUUAUAUAUUUGAACAUGGCUAUCAUAUCACCCCUUAACCUCCUCUUCUCCAGGCUAAACAUGCCCAGCUCCCUUAGCCGUUCCUCAUAAGGCAUCGUUUCCAGGCCUUUGACCAUUUUGGUUGCCCUCCUCUGGACACGUUCCAGUUUGUCCGUGUCCUUCUUGAACUGUGGUGCCCAGAACUGGACACAGUACUCCAGGUGAGGUCUGACCAGAGCAGAAUACAGUGGCACUAUUACUUCCCUUGAUCUAGAUGCUAUACUCCUAUUGAUGCAGCCCAGAAUUGCAUUGGCUUUUUUUAGCUGCCGCGGACGGGUGCUCUCUGUAAGUAAAUACGCAGCAUCACUUUAGAAAAACUGGACAUUAAUGUCAGAAGAGCCUGCUGGAUCAGGCCAAUGGCCCACCCAGGCCAGCAUCCUGUUCUCAUGGUAGCCAAGCGGAUGCCUGUGGGAAACCCGCAAGCAGGAUUCGAACACAAGAGCACUUCUCCCCUCUUGCUGUUUCCAGCCACUAGUAUUCAGAAAAAUUGCAGCCGCCAACUCUGAAGGCAAAGCUUAGCCAUCGUGGCCUGUAGCCUUUGAAAGCCUCACCCCCCGUGAAUUUGUCCAGUCCUCUUUUAAUGCCAUCAAGAUUGCUGGCCCUCCCUGCCUCCAGUGACAGGGAGUUCCAUAGCUUUAAGAGGGACUUCUUCUUUUGUCCUCAGUCUUUCAACAUUCAGCUUCAUUGCAUGUCCACAAGUUCUAGCGCUAUGAGCGAGGAAGAGAAAAAACUUUUCUCUCUCUGCUUUCUCCCUACUGAGGCAUCAGAUCAAGGCCUGCAUUUUAAAAUGAGCUUAAAAAAUAUAUUUGCAAAUGUUUGUAUGUUUUAUGCCAGGCAUAAAGCAGCUGGCUGAGUACUUUGGCAGAUGUUUAUCUCCUUGAACAGGGCCCCUCUGAUCUAUAGCAGUGCCUCAGGGUUGUAAAAGGAAAUUACAGGCUGGGAGCAAAAGGUCAUAUUGACCAUACAAAUUACAGAAUACAAUCAAGCUGCAAAAAUACUAAUUAAGAGUUGGUAAAUAGUGAAAUUUAUUGUUUAACAGAAAAUAAUCCCAUGUGCCUCCCAUUAGACUUGAGCCACAUCUUCCUAAGGUUAAAGGGCAAGAGCUAAUAGAAACAGCAGCUGGCUUGAAAGGGGGGUGUAAAUUUAAGGGGUUGCUUUUGGAAACUGUUUUUACUAAGUUCCUUUCCUUCUAAAAAGCUAUAUAUGUUAAUGUAUGAAAUAUAUUGGCUUAAAUGUAAUUAUGCAAAGGAUUUAGAAAGUAAGAAAUGUUAGAUUCUUAUGUUAGAUUCUUAUUUCAUUGAUGGUGUGUGAGAAGGUGAACCCAAGAUCUCUGUUUUAGCCAUCUGUUUUGGAGUGAAUAGGGCAAUAGGGUAAUAGGGCAAUAGGGCAAAAGGUGAUCUGGUAAUUGAGGUGCCUGGUCGAGGCAAAUGUAAGAUAUAUGGCUACUUGUCUGCCAUUUAUGGAUAGAAGGAAAUAUAGCUCUUUGUCUCCCAUAAAAGGUAAUAGGAAAUGGGUGUAUCUUUUAUGAUUGGUUCUAGCAAACAGCCAAUAGGAAUUUCAACCAGGCUGAUUGGACAGAGGCAGCCAAAGGAGGAGCAAGGGGGCUGGGCUGAGGAAAUAUAAGUGCUGGCCAUCAGGGCUGGAGUAGGCAGAGCUUUGGUAACCAUAUACCACUGUGUCUCUCAUUUAUUUGUCUGACAAAUAAAUUAUUAUUUUAAUUUCUCUAUUGCUGCGUUGAAUGUUUCAUUCCAGCUAAGCGUUAACCACAAGCAGGGUGCUACACUACUUUGCAUUAUUUUUUUAAACUUCUACCAUGUUGCAUCUUCCUUGGCUGUUCUCAGAACUGAAAAGCCUCAAAUACUCCCCAUUCUUCACAGGGGAGUCGCUCCUUCCCCUGGGUCACUUGACUUGCCCUUUACUGAAAAAUUUCCAACUCUAUAAUAUCCUUUUUGGGGUGAUAUAUCUUCCCUAAAACUUUUGCAGCUGCAAAUACUACUGAAAGUGGUGUUGUGUGUAAUUGCUCUGACACCAUCGUGAGCACAAUUUGUCAUAAGGAGAAGGGCUAUCUGGAGGAACCCUGGGAUUUCCUUUUAUAUAAAUAAUUUUUUUAUUUGAUUUAAGUAUAUAUAUAAACAUACAACCAAAAACAGUUCUGAAUCCCAAUAUCAAGAUUGCUCUGAAUCUUUUGACUUUCCCCCUAUCCCUUUCGUCCCUUGGGUCCUAAAGGUAUUAUUUAGUACUACUACUAUUACUACUACUAAUAAUAAUUUAUUAUUUAUACCCCGCUCACUCUGGGCAGCUCCUAACAGAAUAUUAAAAAUAGAACCAACCAUUAGAAACUUCCCUAAACAGGGCUGCCUCCUUCAGAUGUCUUCUAAAAGUCAGACAGUUGUUUAUUUCCUUGACAUCUGAAAGGAAGGCAUUCUACAGGGCGGGCGUCACCACUGAGAAGCCCCUCUACCUGGUUCCCUGUAGCCUCACUUCUUGCAGGGAGGGAACCGCUAGAAGGCCCUCACAGCUGGACCUCAGGGUCUGGGCUGAACGAUGGGGGUGGAGACACUCCUUCAGGUAUACUUAUCAUUACUUAUCAAAAAAUGUAAUCCUUCUAAAUUAUCCCUGCUUUCCAUUACUUUACAAGUGUGGUUCAAAUCCUGCUAAUGUUUUAACCUGCUUGCAGUGGUCUCUUAAAUAAAUUAUAAACUUUCCCCAUUCCUUGUCAAAGUUCUUGUCUUCUUGAUUUCUGAGCUUCCCAGUUAAUUUUGCCACUUCGGCAUAGUUCAUGAGUAGGCAAACUAAGGCCCAGGGGCCGGAUCCGGCCCAUUCGCCUUCUAAAUCCAGCCCAUGGACGGUCUGGGAAUGAGCGUGUUUUUACAUGAGUAGAAUGUGUCCUUUUAUUUCAAAUGCAUCUCUGGGUUAUUUGUGGGGCAUAGGAAUUUGUUCAUCCCACCCCCCAAAAAUUAUAACCUGGCCCCCCACAAGGUCUGAGGGACAGUGGACCGACCCCCUGCUGAAAAAGUUUGCUGACCCCGGCAUAGUCCAUCAACUUGGUUUUCCCGGGACUCUGGGACUUCCAAGCAUGAGUGCAACACUUCUUCCUUCCUCUCCAAAGUGUCACUGAGUCACAAAAGGAGCCAGCAAAGCCCUCCUUGCCAAAAUAAAGUGUUUCUUAACCUCUCCCCCCCUCCUUUUUUCUCCAGUUCCUCAAAUGGCAACAACUGCACAGCCCAGAGUAUUUUCACUUUCCGCAACUCAUUUCUGUGUGGACCUAGUUCUCCGCGGGUGGUUUAAUCACAGUGAUUAUGAAGAUGCAGGCGCCUGGUGGAAAACAUCAGGAAUAUGAAGAAUUGCUCAACUGCGGCCCUUGAGUUGGAAAGAAAGGCGAUUAACUCCUUCCCAACCUGCGCCUGCAAUAAUAUAUAUAAAACGUGGCCGCCUGUUGCUGUAUCAGGAGAUUAAGCCCAUCCCACUUAACAGUGGCUGAGAGAACGAAAAACAGGAAGAAAAUAAAAACAGACGGGUAAGUCACCAAGAAAGAAAGGGCCCAAACUGUGCCAAAAAAAGACUUAACGUAUGAAGUUGUUGUCUGCUGAAUCGGACUGUUCAUUGCUCCCCUCCAUCACUGCCUCACCUCCUUGGGGUCUCAGGCAGAAACAGCAUCUUCUCCAUCCCUGCUUCUUGAGAUGACUUUUCAAUCAUACAAUUGUAGAGUUGAAAGGGACCCCUAAGGGUCAUCCAGCCCAACCCGCUGCAAUGCAGGAGUCGCAGCUCAAGAUUCCCUGAUGGAUGACCACAAGCCAUCAACCUCUGCUUAAAAACCUCCACCACCUUCUGAGGGAGUCCAUUCUGCUAUCAAACAGCUCUUGCCUUCAGAAAGUUCUUCCUUGCUGGACUCUCCUUCCUCUGCCGUUUUUAAGCAGAGGCUGGAUGUCUGCCUGUCAGGGAUCCUUGAGCUGUGAUUCGUGCGUUGCCGGGGGUUGGAUUGGAUGACCCUCAGAGGUCCCUUCGAACUCUACAACGCUAUGAUUCUGUGAUGAGGACUGUGGCAUAUUGUGAAUCGCAGGACCUUUUCAAAGAAGCUGGUCACGAAUUGGCCCAGCCCUGGACCCAAUGACAAUGCAGGUAAGUUUGUCUUCUGGGUCAGGCCCCAAUCCCCUGUUCCUCAUCUUCCUCUUCUCACACAUCGCUGCUGCUGCAGUCUCUGCCCACUUGCAAAUUUCCAUCCCUUCGUUUAUUUAAAUGCACAUGCUGUUCAUCCCACUAAGAUUCUCGCUUCCCACAGUAUAAAAAAACCCAUAUAUAAAAUAUCAGCUCCCCACCAAAAAAACAAAAACAAAUCUAAAAGAGCUAGCACAUCAAUACAAGCAGAAGAAGAGAGAUUAAAAACAAGGACUUGAGGGCAGCAGAACAGAUCCAUAAUUCAGGGCUCAGCUCCGUGUAACAAAGACAUCUUUAAGAUGCUCCGGGAAAAACCCCAGGGGUUCGACCAGGCAGGGGAGGUAGCAGACAGCUACUAACAUCUCCUUGCAGAGUUCAUUCCACAAAGGUGCUUUAGACUAGAGAAGUGGAAACCCUUUUUGCCCAAGAGACACAGUCGGUCCUUUCAAAGGUCACCUAAGAAGAGCCGGCCAAUGGCCUGCAUGUACAGUAAAGAAAAUGAGUUGAGCUUCCAAGGACUGUGGUGGGAUGAAAGAUGGUGGGGCGAAAGAGUGCUAAGUUCAUGUAUAUUUUUCCUAUAGAGAGUGUAUCAUCAUGAAUUUGGCAAUUACAACUCAAUCCUAAAUCUGUUUGCUUACAAAUAAAUCCCAGUAAUUUCCUUGAAAAAGGUCAAUAUGGAGGUCAAAUGGCCGAAAUAUUGGGAAAUUUUGGAACAAGACGGAGAUAGACUGAAAUUGCAGAGUUUUGAAAAACUAAAAAACAAAGUGCGAGACUGGCUUCAUUAUUAUCAGAUAAUGGAGGCAUUUAAAUUGGACAGGAAAAUUGGCUUCCAGGUGGAGAGAUCCAAAUUAGAAACAGAACUGUUAGAACCCAAAACUAAGAAUUUGUCAAGAACGUAUAACUUGCUGCUGAAAUGGAAUACUCAAGAUGAAACGGUAAAAUCGGCUAUGAUUAAAUGGGCACAGGACGUUGGACAUAACAUUAUGUUUGCUGACUGGGAACAGUUAUGGACCACAGGUAUGAAAUUUACGGCAUGUAAUGCCUUAAGAGAGAAUAUUAUGAAAAUGAUAUACAGGUGGUACAUAACCCCAGUCAAGCUUGCGAAAAUCUAUCACUUGCCCGAUAACAAAUGUUGGAAAUGUAAAGAAACUGAAGGUACAUUUUUUCACCUUUGGUGGACGUGCCCAAAGAUUAAGGCAUUCUGGGAAAUGAUAUAUAAUGAAUUAAAAAAGGUAUUUAAGUAUACCUUCCCUAAGAAACCAGAGGCCUUUCUCCUGGGCAUAGCCGGCCAAAUGGUGUUAAAGAGGGAUAGAACUUUCUUUAUGUAUGCAACAACAGCAGCAAGAAUACUCAUCGCAAAGUGUUGGAAGACACAAGAACUUCCCACACUGGAGGAAUGGCAGAUGAAACUUAUGGACUAUAUGGAACUGGCGGAAAUGACUGGUAGAAUCCGUGACCAGGGAGAAGAGUCGAUGGAGGAAGACUGGAAGAAAUUCAAAGACUAUCUUCAGAAACACUGCAAAAUUAAGGAAUGUUAAAGGGAUGUUGGACUGAAAGUAAGUUUCCAGCUGCACAGGUUAAAGUUAAUGAUAGAUUAAGAUUAAAGAUCAAGAUUAAAGAUGUUUAAAGAAAUGGAAAUUUGAUACUAAAAGGGAAAAUUUUAACGUUAUAUGAUAUUAAGAUCAAGGAUUAGGUUUAAAAAGUUGAAGUUAUAUAUUUUAACAUUUUAUUAAAUUAAAGAUUGGGAUUAAAAAGUGGAAAAGAAACUGCUGGACAAAUAAUGUGGAUUGGAAUACAAAGAGGGAGGUAUGAGGAAGUCCAGAAAAUAAUUAAUUUAAAAUUGGAAAUGGAAAAGAGAGUUUGUUUUUAAUUGUUAUGUUUUUUGUUUUUUAUUGUUGAGUUUUGUAUUGUUUGUUGUGUGUGUUGUUUUUUUUUCUUUUGUUGUUUAAAAUUUUAAUAAAAAUUAUUAAAAAAAAAAAACCAAAGGCAAUAAAGGUAAAGGUACCCCCGCCCGUACGGGCCAGUCGUGUCCGACUCUAGGGUUGCGCACUUAUCUCACUUAAGAGGCCAGGAGCCGGCACCGUCCGAAGACACUUCCGGGUCACGUGGCCAGCGUGACGAAGCUGCUCUGGUGAGCCAGCACCAGCUCAGCACACGGAAACACCGUUUACCUUCCCGCUAUAAAGCGGUACCUAUUUAUCUACUUGCACUUAGGGGUGCUUUUGAACUGCUAGGUGGGCAGGAGCUGGGACCAAACGACGGGAGCUCACCCCGUCGCGGGGGUUCGAACCGCUGACCUUACGAUCAGCAAGUCCUAGGCACUGAGGUUUUACCCACAGCGCCACCCACGUCCCAAAGGCAAUACCCCUGCCCUACUGCCAUCUCGUGGGUGGCCCCACUGUGGGGAUGUUGUGGUUAACAGGAGAGGAUACAUUGAUUAAUAUUAUCCUUCCUAACUCGCGCUAACAAGUUUCUUUAUACGGCAGACUGCAUUCACCUAUUACACACCAGGAAGCUGGCAGCAGACUCGUGUGAGUCUCUUAAGGCAAUAAGCAAUUCAAUCCGGCUUGCCCAGAAAGAGAUAUGUUCUAUUAUUCCUGGUAAGACCCCUUUGAUCCCUCCUAAAAGAAUAAAGACACAACAGCCUUAUUCAUAAGUAACAAAAAGUAAAAAAAAAAAUCCUUCUGGUAGCACCUUAGAGACCAACUAAGUUUCUUAUUGGUAUGAGCUUUCAUGCGCAUGCACACUUCUUCAGAUACCGUUUCGUGUGCAUGAACAUGAAAGCUCAUACCAAUAACAAACUUAGGUAAAGGUAAAGGGACCCCUGACUGUUAGGUCCAGUCGUGUCCGACUCUGGGGUUUUGGUGCUCAUCUCGUUUUAUUGGCCGAGGGAGCGGGCGUACAGCUUCUGGGUCAUGUGGCCAGCAUGACUAAGCCACUUCUGGCGAACCAGAGCAGCGCACGCAAACGCCGUUUACCUUCCCGCUGGAGCAGUACCUAUUUAUCUACUUGCACUUUGAUGUGCUUUCGAACUGCUAGGUUGGCAGGAGCAGGGACCGUGAAACGGGAGCUCACCCUGUCGUGGGGAUUUGAACUGCCGACCUUCUGAUCGGCAAGUCCUAGGCUCUGUGGUUUAACACACAGCGCCACCCGCGUCCCUACAGUAACAAACUUAGUUGGUCUCUAAGGUGCUACUGGAAGGAAUUUUUUUAUUUUGUUUCGACUACGGCAGAACAACACAGCUACCUGCCUGCAACAAAAAGUAGUUUUACUCACGAUCAGGCAAAGCACAGUGUGAUCCCUGAAGGCAGACUUUAGGCUUAAAGUUACAAAUAUGUACAAACAGGUUUACCCCAUAUAGGAGAUAACCCAGGGACUGCUGGCUGAGAGUGCGGUCCAGGUGAUGCAGGCAGGACGAAAAAGAAGGGAGGUAGCUACAAGACUUGACCUUUUUCUAGGUCUGGAAAGGUCACGCCCACCUACUAGUCACAUGCAAAGGAAGGAUGCUCCAGCCAGGUGUGACAGGAAGUUCAACUGGCUGGACCAACAUUCCCCAUGCAUGUUCACUCUAGGCAAACGGGAAAUGUACUUGACUGCUCCAGUGGAUUACGUCCCAACCCACCAGUAUAGAACUCCCUUUGUGAAACAAUCCUUCAGAACCUUGACCUCCCAUCCUGCUUUUAGAUGGGUUCUGAAAACUUUUAUUUCAUUAUCCCAACAGGCAUUUUUAAAGUCCUUUUUUUUUUCACUGAUGAUUUAGCUGUUUCCCUGGUGCAUUUAUUUCUGCUCAUUGUCAGGAUUUUUUUUAAAAAAUGGUUUGUUUGUCUUUUUUUUGGGGGGGGGGAAUAUUGAUUUUGUCUUUUUUUAAAAAAAAUAUAUUCAUUUUGUUGUAUUGAUUUGAUAUGCUCGUUUGCUGCUUGCCCUGUUGGGGGGGGGGAGCAGCUGAAAAUUAAUUAGAACAAACCAGAGGAAGUUCAAGAGGUGAAUCUGGGCAACUUGCAUCCCACUGCCAGGUUUUUUGGGGGUGGGGAGGGAGGAGGGGUGAGGGAGCUCAAUCUUGGAGAGGAGCAGAUACAUCUGGAGUUAGGGUUGUGCCAGAAAUUUUUUAUCCUGCGUUAUUUUUAUUCUUUUCUUCCCUCCAUGUAUUUUUGAGGAAAAGAGCUGAUUUGAAAAUUAUGAGAGGAGAGAGGCAGGCUUUGUGAAAUGCACAGGUUGGGAUGGGGUGGGUGAGCACCCUUCAUGCAACAAAUCUUAUCUCCAGGGGUCUGCACUCUGCAGACCACCACCCACUCCUGGUGGCUGCAUUUGCUGAAACCCCAAGAAAAUCCUCAUCCGAGUGUUAACAUGGGAAUGUCCAUUGGAGGUUUCUAAGCAGAUCCACGUGAUGGUCACCUGCAGACUUGAUUAUUGUAACUCACUCUACGUGGGGCUGCCCUUGAGACUGACCCAGAAACUCCAGCAGGUGCAGAAUGCCGCGGCGAGACUCCUUAUGGGGUCUUCGCUGCGGGAUCACAUUCACCCGGUGCUAUACCAGCUGCACUGGCUGGAGUAUAAGUUCAGGUUUAAGGUGCUGGUUUUGACCUAUAAAGCCCUAUGCGACCUAGGACCCUCAUACCUACGGGACCGCCUCUCCUGGUAUGCCCCACAGAGGACCUUACGGUCUUCAAACAAAAACACCUUGGAGAUCCCGGGCCACAGGGAAGUUAGACUGGCCUCAACCAGAGCCAGGGCUUUUUCGGCUGUGGCCCCAGUCUGGUGGAACGCUCAGUCACAAGAGACUAGGGACUUGACAUCUUUCUGCAGGGCCUGCAAGACAGAGCUGUUCCACCAGGCCUUUGGCCGGGGCACAGCCUGACCCCCUCCUUUGGCAAUCCUCACAGAACUCUAGCCCAAUGGUUGCUAUUAAUUAGACUCUGAAUUGAUUUUAGAAUGAAUUGAUUUUAGAAUGUAUUUCAAUUAAAUUAUGAUUUUAUGUAAACUGUGGUUUUUUUACUGUUUUUAGCUGCUCUGACCCCGGCUUCGGCUGGGGAGGGCGGGAUAUAAAUAAAUUUUAUUAUUAUUAUUAUUAUUAUUGGUUGGCUGGUUAUCUCUCAUGGAAGUUUUAGUCACAAUUCCUGCAUUGCAGGCGUUUGGACUAAAUUGGGGUCCCAUCCAGCUGUACAAUUCCAUGAUUCUAACACGGGGACAUAAAAAGCUGGCUGAUCCCGAAUCGGACUCUUGCCUCAUUUAGCUCUGCAUAGCCUGCACUGACUGGCAGCAGCCCUGCAGGAUUUUUAGAGGCUGCCUGCCUGCCUGCUUUCUUAAGGAACAUAGCAGUUCCCAGUUCUCCAACAUUGGGAGCACCACCUCAUUUGGGAAAGGGGCUUCCAGUUCUUCAGAAAGUGGCAGACUCUCCUUUGCUGGAGGUUUUUAGGAAGAGCUUGGAUGGCCACAUGUCAGGGAUGCUUCCUGCAUUUCAGAGGGUUGGACUAGAAGACACUCAGGGGACCCUUCCAUCCCUACACUUCUCUGAUUCUGUGAGUGCAGCAAAAGCACUUUCCAUUCAUCCCCAAAUGCUCCACGCUGUGUUAUGCCCUCCUCCCCUCUCUGCAUUGCAACCCCUGACGUGUGGAAGGCGUGGAAUAAAUGCCCUAUUUCUGCCACUGCCCUUUGUCUCCCUCCAGGCAGAAGCUCUCCGACUCUUCGGUGUAGGCCGGAAGAGGAGACCCAGUGACCUCCUUUCUCUUCGGGAAACAAACAUCUCUGAAAAGCACUUUGGGAUGGGUCAGAGGUCAGGAUGCAGAGCCUGCCACGGCAGGGCAGGCUUGCAUUUUCCCCCACUUCCUCUUGACAGGCAAGGAGAUCACGAGAAAGCGGUGUUUCGACGGGGGAAGCGGAGAGAAAGCACGCCUGUCAUUUCAAAACAGAAGUACCUAAGAAGAGCUUGUUGGAUCGCCCAGCAUCAUGUUCUCCCAGGGCCUGACCAGAUGCACCAGUGCCGCAAGCAGGAUCCGAGCACAAGGGCAACUCUCCCCCGCUGUGGUUCCCAGCAACUGCAAUUCAGAAGCCUUGCUGCCUCCGACUGUACAGUGUUGUAAACAAAAACUGCCCUUUUUCCCUUUUGGGGUAUCCAAGAGCCCAUAUAGAGUCCUUACGUAGGUUCCCCAUUGGUAGGAGAAAAGAACAGAGGCCAGCCAGAGAAUAUUGAGAAGCAAAGCAGCUCGUAAGCCUGAUCUUUAUUGAUCAGUUGCAACAGGGUGCUCCCUUCACAUGCAGGAAGAGGAACCCCGAACAAAAGUGUGCCCGCCCUUAUAUAGACAUUUUAAAUUGUCCGCCUUGGAGUCCAAGACCACCCCCAGAAACAUCAUACAUACAUCACAGAAGGGGUGUAACCUAAACCCACCCCCCAGAUACAUCAUACCUACAUCACUGAAAGGGCGGUCUACAGCAGAAAUCUGAGUGCGUUGUUUACCUCCUGUCUGGCAGGUUACUUGUUUAAUGGUCACUUGAUUGGAUACCCUGGGGAGCCUGGCCAGUCUUUUGUAAUGACAAAUACUUAGUUCCUGAGCUCACAGGCUCACCCUGUUCACACACAGACAUACCCUUAAGACAGGCUUUGUGAAGGAAAAGACAAUGGGGAAGCUUUUCCAUUUUCCUUGACCUUGCAGAGAAAUCAUUUGGUCAGUUUGGGAGUCAAAAUUGUUUCAGGGCUGUUUUCCUGUGCUGCUUCAGACAUGUGGUUUAUAUAUUUAUGUAUGUGUUUGCUUGGUACAUUUAUGAACAUUUAUUAUACAUAUAAGACCUUACAUUUUUUAUUUCAGUUGACCCAUAAGAACUCACAGCUCGUUUUUGGGGAAAUACCUGACAAAGGCAAAGAGGGUGGCAAAGUGGGGCAUAAGCCUUGUAUAUAAGGGCAAGCAGAACUAUCACAGAAUUGUAGAGCUGGAAGAGGACCCCUGAAACCAUAAGGGUAUGUCGUGUGUAUGAACAGGAUGUGAGCCUGUGACCUGGCUCAGGAACUAAGUAUUUAUCAUUACAAAAGACUGGCCAGGCUCCCCAGGGUAUCCAAUCAAGUAAGCAUUAACAGGUAACCUGGCAGACUGGAGGUAAACAACGCACUCAGAUUUCUGUUGUAGACCACCCUUUCUGUGAUGUAGGUAUGAUGUUUCUGGGGGUGGUCUUGAGCUCCAGGGCGGGCAAUUAAAAAUGUCGAUAUAAGGGCGGGCACACCUUUGUUAGAGGUCCUCCUCCUUUCCUGCGUGUGGGGGGAGCACCCUGUUGCAACAGUUCAAUAAAGAUCAGACUUACUAGCUGCUUUGCUUCUCAGUAUUCUCUGCUUGGCCUCUGUUAUUUUCUCCGACCGAUGGAGAACCUGCAAAGGACUCCAUAAGGGCUCUUGUGUCCUCCAUAAGGGAAUAAGGGCAGAUUUUCGUUUAAUACACAACACAGCUAUCGUUUCAUUUUUAGGUUACUGAAAAACAAAGACCUCCCUAACAGGCCCCCUUUCCAGUGGCUGGAGUCACCCUGGUGCCAUAAAGUCACAGCUGGGCCUUCCUAACUGACAAGGAAAAGAUGCCAUGAGAAACAUAAUGAGCCAUCAUCACCCAAGUGUGAGCGAGACCCUGAGCGUGGGACGGUUCCCCUGGGUUUUGUCUUGGCCCAGAAACAGAACCCAAACUGCGAGAAGCUUGACAGGAAUAGCAACACUCAGGAUCAAUAGCGCUCAUUCAUCCAAGGAGCUCUCGACACGGAUAAGAGAGCCAGGCAGAUAUUCCGGCAUCGUAUCAAGGCAGAAGAAUCUGCAGCUCUUUGGUCAGGUGUGCAAGAAGAGGAAAAACACCUAGAGCAGCUGUUCCCUGUAGCAGGAACCCCCCACCCCAAUCAUUCAGUUUGUACAAACUUCACACACUCACACUCACACACUACAUAUGCCACACCUGUUAUAAAUUUAUAGAAAAAUCAACCAUACAUCAGAUUUGCAUGGUUCCAUUUUUAUUUUACUCCAUAUGACAAGGACUAUCAAAGGGGGGUGGCUUGGUUCUGGUCAGCCAUAAUCCCGUCACCAUCCCAGCACAUCCACAGGAGCCCUGCCCAGUUGCUAUGCCAACCCUGAUGGUCCUAGACAGAAGACCAUCAAGAUCACAAAGAACUUGCAUAUGGGAGUGGAUUCAGCAUGGACUGAAACAAAGGACAAUGAUCAGAUCUUCCCUCUGGGGGCAGGAAACUGCCAACUCCCUUUUGUCUCCUGGAAGUGACUCAUGGGCAGGGGGAAAGGAGGAACCAGCCAGGUGACAGGACACUCAGGUUACCACCACAACUCCUCCCUCAACCCCUCCUUUCUGUAAUAUAUGCAUGAUGUUUCUGGGGGUGGGCUUGAUCUACAGGGUGGGAAUUUCAAAAGUUUUUAUAAGGUCUUGCACACCAUUUUCUGUGUCUUUCCUCUCUCCUGCAAGUGAGGGAACACCCUGUUGCAACAGUUCAAUAAAGGCCAAGCCUACAGGCUGCUGUUUUGCUCCAAGUUAUCCUGGUUGGUGUCUUUGUUUUUGUCCAAGGGAGCCCUCGGAUUUUUCCGGUAACAUCCCACAAUGCUAGAUCUGCUAUGCUUAGUUUUGUCAGCGCUGAAUGGAAGCAGAGAAUUGCAAAUCAAAAGGAGAACUGUCCCGACCUGGAGAUGCCUUCUCCAUGCAAGUGUUCUGCCACCGAACCACAAACUAGGCAGGAUAUGGAGAAUUUUGCAAGCUGGCAACUGAAUCUGGGACUGGCCAUUGGUCCAGCUAGCUAUGUAAUGUCCACACUGACUGGAAGCAGCUCUGCAGGAUUUUAGGGCUCACCCACACUUGGGUUUGCCCCAAAGCUUUCCUUCUGCAGUUUAGCACUGAAUCAGAACAAACAGCAAUUGGGUUUUCUGUGAAAUUGCCUCUUAUUCUAGCCAGAAGCAUUUUUGUUAGGGACUGUAGGAAAAGACCUGCCAAGGAAAGUGAAGAAUAUAUUUAGGUAUGCAACAACGGAGGCAAGAGUCUUAAUAGCACAAGGAUGGAAGAAUGAAGAAACCCCAACAAAAGAACAGUGGCAAGAGAAAUUGAUGGAUUAUGCAGAACUGGUAAAAUUGAUGUAUAAAUUGCGAGAUAAGGACAAGUGUGACUUUAAAGAAGAAUGGGAACCUUUUACAAUUUUUUUUAAAAAAACAACAACAAAAUGAACUGGACUCCUUGGCAGGUUUUGAAUAAACAUGCACAAACUUAUUGUUACUAAUAUAAUAGAUAAAUAAACUGAGGAUCUUUACAUUUUUAUAACAUGCAGAGAAUAAUGUGUGUUAAAAAAAUCAGAGAGAGGAGCUGAGGGAAGUCGGAGGGAGGAGAGAAGGGGAGGGGAAAAACAGGGUGAAAUAGAAGAUGAUUUGUUGGAAUAAUUUGUUAUGUGAAAGCAUUCAAUAAAAAAUUAUAAAAAAGGAAUUGCCUCUUAUUAUGAUUUAGCACCAGAGAGCGAAUUUUCCACGGCAAAAAAAUUUCCCAAUGCAAAAUGCAUUGCAGGGGGUUGGACUAGAUGGCCGUUGGGGGUCCCUUGCAACUCUAUGAUUCCAUGAAAGAAGCAGGGCAAAGGCACAACUGCUCACGUGUGCCCAGAAAUCAUGGGGAAAGUGGAAAACCACUCAGACCUGUGCUUUCUGGGUCAAGCGGAAGUGUGAAUGAGCUGUCAGACAAUAAUAUUUUCCUGGCACUGCCCAGAGAUGUUGUUGGUGAUUGAAGCUGGGAUUCCUGCAUGCAAAGCAUGUUGGAAGAUUUAGGGCAGGUAAAAUAAAGUCCUUCUUUGUGCAGCACAUACUAAGGAACUCUCUGCCACAGGAGGCAGUGAUGGCCACCAACUUCAAUGGCUUUAAAAGGGGAAUAAUAAUAAUAAUAAUAAUAAAAUAAAAUAAAAUGAUAAUAAUAAUUUAUUUAUACCUCACCCAUCAUCCCUAGCUAACAGGACCAGUGGUCAGGGAUGAUGGGAACUGUAGUCCCAAAACAGCUGGAGGGCCGAGUUUGGGGGUGCCUGAUCUACGCCUUCCUCUUUUUAAAAAACACACCAUGGCCCUGCAUGUUGAGCCUCUCCCGCUUUCCACAACUUCUCUACUCCAAGGCUCCUUCAACCUGAGUACAGUUUGUUUUGUCAGCCCUGGAGGAUGAGCCAGGCGCUUAUCAGAGCAGCGAAUGGGGCUGCUAAUUGCCUCUCACUGCAAAUAUCUCCUCCUGGCUUCAAAAGCUCAGGGAGGAGGAAAAGGGGAAAGCAGAAGGCAAUUUGAACCAGGAAGAGUGCUUUGCUCCAUAUAUUUUGUGGGAGGUUUUUUUUUGGGUGUGUGUGUGUGUGUGUGUGUUUUAAAGUUUGAUAACACAGUUCAUCCCCUAAAAAUGUAAAAAAUAUUCACCAUGGUUUUGCAAUGAAAAAGCAGCACUAAGGAAAAGUGAGGAGCUCUAGAUGGCAGCCAAUGACUUCUCUCUGCUUUCCGAUGGGUCUGGACAGCUGCACAGACCCCACUGAACAGGACCACUGUUUGUGCCUCCUGGGGAUCCCCCCUACGUGAGAAAAGUCACACCUUGGUGCGAAAUAGCAAGGCCGGCUCAAAGCACCUAGAGGAAUCCGACAGGUCUCCAAAGACAUCAAGCCUCCCAAAAAUGGAAAGACACACACACACACACACACACACACACACACACGAACAUAAGAAUCACCUGCUGGAUCAGGCCAGUGGUCCAUCUAGUCCAACAUCCUGUUGUCACAGUGGCUGACCAGAUGCCCAUUGUGGGAAACCUGCAAGCAGGAUUCGAACACAAUAGCCCUCUCCCCUCUUGGUUUCAGAAGCAUUGUGACAUAAAAAAAUUAAGGUCUUAUAUAUAUAUAAUAAAUGUACCAACCAAGCACAUACAUAGAUGUGUGGACCACAUGUCUGGACCAGCACAGGAAGACCGUCCUGAAACCAUUUUGACUCCCAAACUGACCAAAUGUUUUCUCUGCAAGGAGGGAGGGGGUGAGGGAAUUUUCCCAUUGUCUCGGGAAUUGGGGAAUCGCCAUCUCAAAGCAAUGGGCAGACUACCAGGAAAGGCAAUCGGAUAAGGCAUUAUCAGAUAACCUGGCAGACAAGAAAAACAAUAGCAUUCAAAUUUCUGUUGUAGACCGCCCUUUCUGUGAUGUAGGUAUGUGUCUGGGGGGUGGUCUUGAGCUACACCCCUUCUGUGAUGUAUGUAUGAUGUAUGGAGGGGUGGUCUUGAGCUCCAGGGCAGGCAAUUUAAAAUGUUUAUAUAGGGGCGGGCACACCUUUGUUCGGGGUCCUCCUCCUUCUCUUGCGUGUGAGGGGAGCACCCUGUUGCAACAGAUCAAUAAAGAUCAGGCUUACGAGCUGCUUUGCUUCUCAAUAUUCUCUGCUUGGCCUCUGUUAUUUUCUCCGACUGAUGGAGAACCUACAAAGGACUCUAUAAGGGCUCUUGUGUUCCCCAUAAGGGAAUAAGGGCAGAUUUUUGUUUAUUACAAUCACUUGCACCUGACUGUGGAAGCUGAGCUGAGCCAUCAGGGAUAGUAGACAAGGGUGAAAACAGGCUUUCUUUCUUUCUUUCUUUCUUUCUUUCUCUCUCUCUCUCUCUCUCUCUCUCUCUCUCUCUCUCUCUCUCGUCAGGCUGGGAGCCUCAAUGACUCUGGAGGCUUCACACAGGGCAAAAAACCUGCCUAGCCUGUCUCUCCCCCAAUAUAGCUACAGUUCUGCUUUCCUGUGGACCAGAUCCGUGAGGCCUUGUCAUCUGGGCAGCCCAGGACCUCCAGACACAUUGCCCAGGCUUGUGCCCCUGUAUGGGCAAUCUAUCCAGAAGAUAUUUGUAUUUCUGAGGAGUUAGCGAUCUAACUCGGUUGCCCUCUUCCUGCCACCUUGUUCCUUCCUUUUCCUAUAUUUUGUUAAGCUCUUUGAUGGCUGAGAACAGCCAUUAAUGUCCUAGUCCUAAUCUGUUGGAAGGAAGUGGAUAUUGGUGGGUACAUUCUUUUGAUGCUGGACAUUGUUUGAAGAAAGUGAGGCAUUGGGAGAGGGUGGCUAAUAAAUAAUUUGCACGUAGCUAGUAGCACAUAGCCAGCCAGGCAAACUACGCAGGCUAACAGGCUAUCUACCUAGAAAUCAGAUGAUCGAUCGAGGGUCGUGCAAACCAAAGGCUACCUGGGGGAGUCACUUUGCCGCAUCUUGAGGGCUUCCAAGUAGCAAAUCGAAGCGCUUGCUUGGUAAUGUAUAUAAUGCUUUAAUCUUUAAUCUUCUCACUCACUUAUGUUUUGUAUUGCCUCUGAAUCUCAUCUGAGAAGAACCACCUGGCAUUUGGCAAGAGAGCCCCAGAGUCGUUACUUUGGUGCUGCUAAAAACAACGCAGGAGGCAGCAGUUAUGUGUUACCGGUCUCUGCAGCCACAGCAGGCGCUGUGAUUCUCCACCGGUUUGAUUUCACUCCUGGAGGCUGUGGGAAUGUUCAGGGAGGCAGGAGAUGAUACAUUGUUUAUUAAUAUCCUUCCUAACUUGCGCUAGCAAGUUCCUUUAUUUAGCAGAGUUUACAUUCCCCUUUUUACAUGCUCAGCAGAUAGCUGGUUGCAGGCUUGUGUGAGCCUCUCACUAUUGUACAAUUCAACCUAAGAUAGAUUGAAUUGUACAUUCCUGGUAAGUUCCCUUGAAUCCCUCUUAAAAGAAUAAAGAUGCCACAAGCUUAUUCAAAGUCAAUAAAAGAAGUGUACUCACAUCAGUUCAAAGUUGGAUUCCUGAAAGCAGACUUAGUUACAAAUAUGUACAUGUGGAUCUACACCAUAUUGAGGAAUAAUCCCAGUGCUUCUGCUAGCUGAGAGCUAACAGAGCAGUCCUAGCUAGAAGCUGGUCGAGCGAAGAAGAAGGAAACAGAGAGAGGUGUGCUGCGUGACUCGUCCUUUUGUUACCUGGACAGUUUAGGUCACGCCCACCUUCUAUCACAUGCAAAAGGAAGGAUGCUCCAGCCAGGAGGAACAAGGAAGUUUCGACUGGCUGGACCAAACAUCCCCUCUAGGAAAACGAGGAAUGUUGUAUUUGACUGCUCCCAGUGGAUUACAUCCCACAGAGGCCCACUCCAUUGUCUCUUGAGACAGAUGGAUGCCAACCGCAAAAAGGUGGUGUAGUGGUUAGCGUGUUGGACUUGGACCUGGGAGACCAGGGUUCAAAUCCCCACUCAUCCAUGGGCAGAUGAAACUUAUGGACUAUAUGGAACUGGCGGAAAUGACUGGUAGAAUCCGUGACCAGGGAGAAGAGUCGGUGGAGGAAGAUUGGAAGAAAUUCAAAGACUAUCUUCAGAAACAUUGCAAAAUUAAAGAAUGUUAGAGUGAUGUUGGACUGAGAAUAAGCGGUUUCCAGCUGUACAGGUUAAAGUUGAUGAUAGACUAAGAUUAAGAUUAGGAUUAAAAAUGUUUAAAGAAAUGGAAAUUUGACAAUUAAGAGGGAAAAUUUUAAGGUUAUAUUAUAUUAUACUAAGAUUAAAGAUCAGGUUUAAAGAAGUUGAAGUUAUAUAUUACAAUAUUAUAUUAAAGUUAAAGAUUGGGAUUAAAAAAGUUGAAAAGAAAUUGCUGGACAAACGAUUUGGAUUGGAAUACAAAAGAGGGAGGUAUGAGGAAGUCCAGAAAAUAAGUAAAUUUAAAAACGGAAAUGGAAAAGAGAUAUUGUUUUUAAUUGUUAUGUUGUUGUUUUAUUAUUAUUAUUAUUAUUGUUGUUGUUGUUGUUGUUGUUGAUUCUUGUUUUUUGUGUCUUUUUUGUUUUCUCCUUGAGAUUUGUAUUGUGUAUUUGUGUAUCUUUUUUGAUGUUUUUCUUUCUUUGUUUGUUGUUCAAUUUUUGAUUGAAACUUUAAUAAAAAUUAUUAAAAAACCAAAAAAAAAACCAAAUCCCCACUCAUCCAUGAAGCUUGCUGGGUGUGAAGCUCGUUGGGCUAGCUACUGCCUCUCAGCCUGCCCUACCUUUCAGGGUUGUGGGGAGGAUAAAACAGAGGGGCAGAACCACGAAAAGACACCUCGAGCUCCUUGGAGAAAAGGGUUGGAUAUAAAUGAGGUGAAUAAAUAAGAUAAAUAAAUUGUGAAUUUGACAGAAUUGUUGAGGAGAGGUCGAAGAGGUUAACGGCUGGUGUACAUUGCCCCCCUUGGCUGAAGCUGGACAUAUGCUUCAGGGCAUAUCUCUGAGGCUGUUUAGCCAGACAGAGGAGACUUGGGGGGCAGGGAAGUUUAAAGAGGGUCGAUUUAAAUGACCCCCCCCCCAUGGCUGAACAGGCGCCUGUAAGCAUGCAACAGUCCCCAUGGCAACUCCUUGCAAGGUGGGUGUUCUCUUCCUGUCAGCCAAGUACUCCAUCCUGCCACAUUCAUCCAGAACGACUCAAUAAUUUGUAAUUUCCUAGCAACGCCUUAACUACCUUCAGACAAUGCUGGGGAGUUUUCUUCCUCCUCCCUUAACCUGCCACUCUCCUCUUCCCAAAGGUUUUGGGGUUUGAGACGGGUGAGAAGGUGGGAUCUUUUGGUCCCUCCCAAGCUGCACCCAACCCAACACUCCCUGAAUUCUCAGAUCCCUUUCAGCUUUGAUGUCCAAUGCGGAUAUUUCAGUGCCAAAGGGAUGAUCUCACUUUUCUGAUUCCCGUCCAAUUUGCUUUCCACCAAGAAGUGUGGGAAGCUGGAUGGGAGAUUCAGAACGGGUUGGGUCUCUCCUAACAUGCAGAUUGUGGUAUGAAACUUCAACUAACGUUUUAUUCAUAUUUCUUUAUUAAAUUUGUACACCCCCCCCCCCUUCAUCCGAAGAUCUCAGGACAGAGAUAUACUGGCCUAAUAUACUGGCACUGUUAACAAGUGCCACAUAACACCCGCGUUUGUUAAAAUAAAAAUAAAAUCACUCUUUUAGCAAAGUGGCACAUACACAUUAAACCAUAGGUGCUGGCUCCCUGGGGCCCUGGGUGCCCACAGAAUUCCCCAUGAAGGGGCCAGGCACCCACAAAUUUUGGCACCAGGGCUACAUGACACCUAUGGCCCCGGGCACCCACAGUCACAGGGCCAAGUUGGCACUCCUGCAUUGAACAUAAGAAUCUGCCGGAUGAGGCCAAUGGCAAGAGCAAUUAUCGCCCCCAGCAACCAGUGUUCAGAAGCCUUGCUGCCUGACCCCCAGUGCUGGAUUCACGUAUAAGCUAAAUAAGCUGUAGCUUAGGGCCUGACUCACCCGAAGUUCCCCCCAAAAAAUUAAAGGAGAAAAAACUGGAUGUACAUUUCCAAAAUGUAAGAUAAAAAACAAAUAAGAUAAAACCGACAUACAGCAACACAGGGUGAGCUCCCGUUGCUCGGUCCCUGCUCCUGCCAACCUAGCAGUUCGAAAGCACGUCAAAGUGCAAGUAGAUAAAUAGGUACCGCUCUGGCGGGAAGGUAAACGGCGUUUCCCUGUGCUGCUCUGGGUUCGCCAGAAGCGGCUUAGUCAUGCUGGCCACAUGACCCGGAAGCUGUACUCCAGCUCCCUCGGCCAAUAAAGCAAGAUGAACGCCGCAAUCCCAGAGUCGGUCACAACUGGACCGAAUGGUCAGGGGUCCCUUUACCUUUACCUUUACCUUUACCUUUACCUUUACCUUUACAUACAGCAACAGUGCUUUGUGUUGUGUAGGCUCCUAUGAUAUAAGUCAUGGGCCCCGCCUGCUAGCCUGCUCCCUAAAAUAUCACUGCUUUGCUCCUUUCUAUAAACAGGGUGCCUACAUUCUGCAUGGACUGGUUGCAUGGCAACACGUGCAAAUUGCUUUAGAUACCUACUAGGUCCAUAAAUUACCAUCUAGCAUAUAUUCAACAGAAAAAACAGUGACCAUUUGUUGUUGACAAAGGACAGCUGGACAUAGAAAGGGCCCCAUUACCUUCAGUAGCUUAGGGCCUCAUCAAACCUAAAUCUCUAUAGGACACGCUUUUCCCCCUCCAAAUAUUAAAGGGAAAUGUGUGUGCGUCCUAUGGAGUGAAUGUAGGCUCCUUGGCUUCAGCGAUAGCAACGUGAAGCCUCUGAAGGGCAGAGGGUGCGCACCGACCCCUCUCACUAUCCAGGCUUCAGGGAUAGCCGCCUGAAGCCUUCGGAGCGCAGCACAAGUUCCCGCUGCGCUCCAAAGGCUUCAGGGAUCUUUGAGGCUGGCGGUGGGGGAAAGCAGCGUUUCCCCCCACCCCCAGCUCCACAAGCUUCUCCGUUUCUCCUGCCGCUUCGCUGAAGGGGCGCUGAGCAGAGAGGGGGAGAAUUUUUUUUCUUGUUGUCUCCCUCUAAAACAAGGUGCGUCCUAUGGUCCGGUGCAUCCUAUAGAGAGAAAAAUACGGUAAAUCUGGUCCUGCCGCCCUGUCCCGCCCCGCCCUGCCCCCACCUCUGGCCUGGAAGAGAUCCUGUAUUUCAGCAUUUACCCCAAUGCUAGACGUUCCCCAACUUUUUCUGGCAACUGCACACUUGGUUCAAUAAACAUAUCCUCAAUGCCCCCUACCCUAUCGGAGUAAUUUUAAUUUGUUUUAGCGUUUUAACUUUUGUAUGUUUUAAAGUAUGGUUGUGGUUUUUCUACUUCUCAGUUUUAUUGUUUUAUCUUUCAAAAAAAUCGCUUGGAGGUGUCGUUGCUGUUGUUUUUAUAAUCAAGCAAGUGGCACAUAAAUUUUCAUGAAAUAAAUAAAUAACUCAGAACAGCGAUCCGCACAACCCGUUCAGGAAUAUAGUAACAUAAUAAAAUUCAAAACAGCAAUAAUUAAUUGCUCCCUUAUUCAAAACCCGAUUUGUAGGUAUAAGUUCUCAGAAAAAGUAAUUUGGAUAAAUAAAUUUAUGCUCUGAUCUGAUCUUGUAGUUUUUUUUAAAAAAAAAAGGUAUAUGCAGCAAAGAGUAUUGCAUGAAAAAUAUUUUUACGCAUUCUUGCGUAAUUUAUAGCUUGAAACAUUCAUAUAAAACUACUUACCGAACCUUCAUCUGUACAGAGAUGUACAGUAACUAAUUUAUACAACAUUGAGCAAGGCAACAGCUUUGAAAGUAAGAAGAGCAGUAAAAGUUUAAAUAAGGAAGAUGUUUGGCUCUGGGCUCUAGGCUGGUGAAUGGAAAAUAAUUGAUCAGUGCACUUGGAGGAAGCCAUUUCCAGUGCCUCCCCCCGCUGCCUCCUUGCCUCUAAGGCAGCCAUAGGCAAACUCUGCCCUCCAGAUGUUUUGGGACUACAACUCCCAUCAUCCCUAGCUAACAGGACCAGCAGUCAGGGAUGAUGGGAACUGUAAUCCCAAAACAGUUGGAGGGCCGAGUUUGCCUAUGCCUGCUCUAAGGGCCCCCCAGGUGAUGCCACUGUACCCCCAGGGGUGGGACCCCCCCACACACACACACUUUGGGAACGGAGACACACUGAAGUUUGGGCCCCCGACUUCUGAGCAACUGCAGAGGCUUUGUGGAAACUAAGCUCUUCCAGUUUGAUCAUGGCAUCCCCAACCGGCAAAGCGACCAAGGUUGCGGUGACCAGUUGAGACGGCCACCAGUUCCUCAUUUGUCUCUCCUUAAGCAGCAUCUUAAAAAGCAGAGACAUCACCUUGCCAACAAAGGUCCGUCUAGUUAAAGCUCUGGUUUUCCCAGUAGUGAUGUAUGGAAGUGAGAGCUGGACCAUAAAGAAGGCUGAUCAUUGAAGAAUUGAUGCUUUUGAAUUAUGGUGCUGGAAGAGACUCUUGAGAGAGUCCCAUGGACUGCAAGAAGAAGAAGAGGAGUUUGGACUUGAUACCCCACCUUUCACUCCCUUUAAGGAGUCUCAAAGCGGCUAACAAUCUCCUUUCCUUUCCUCCCCCACAACAAACACUCUGUGAGGUGAGUGGGGCUGAGAGACUUCAAAGAAGUGUGACUGGCCCAAGGUCACCCAGCAGCUGCAUGUGGAGGAGAGGAGACGCAAACCCGGUUCCCCAGAUUACGAGACUACCGCUCUUAACCACUACACCACACUGGCUAGCAAGAAGAUCAGACCGAUCCAUUCUGAAGGAAAUCAGCCCUGAGUGCUCACUGGAAGGACAGAUCCUGAAGCUGAGGCUCCAAGACUUUGGCCACCUCAUGAGAAGAGAAGACUCCCUGGAGAAGACCCUGAUGUUGGGAAAGAUGGAGGGCACAAGGAGAAGGGGACAGCAAAGGACGAGAUAGUUGGACAGUGUUGUCGAAGCUACGAACAUGAGUUUGACCAAACUGCGGGAGGCAGUGGAAGACAGGAGUGCCUGGCGUGCUCUGGUCCAGGGGGUCACGACUAAACGACUAAACAACAACAACGCACCAUUUCCUCUCAUGACUCUUCAGGCUGGUGGUGAUAAAUGCAAGGGGAAGGGCGGCCAGGAGCCUGUGACUUCAUACAAUGACAUGGAAAGCUUGGUCUCUUCCUGGCUUCCCAGAAAUGGGUGCGUGCGGUGACCCCACAUACUGUAAAGGGAGAUACGGAGCCUUUGCCUGACACAGGAAAUCAGGAAGGACCUACACAACACACACACACACCCCAAAACCCCAAUGGCUCCCAGACCAGCUUUGAUCCGAUUUGAAAACGUAAGGAACACAGAGGCAGGCAUGCCUCCAGACCCUCCAACAUUUCUCCGAUGAAAACAGGGGCAUUCUAUUCUGCACCAGGAAGCUUCUCCCAUGUUUGUAUAUAAAAAAUUUUUUAUUGAAUUUUCUGUCUUACAUUUGAGAACAGGCAUCCCCAAACUCGGCCCUCCCGAUGUUUUAGGACUACAAUUCCCAUCAUCCCUAGCUAACAGGACCAGUGGUCAGGGAUGAUGGGAAUUGUAGUCCCAAAACAUCUGGAGGGCCGAGUUUGGGGAUGCCUGUUUUAGAAUAUUCAUUUAAGCAUCCAAAGAAUAUCAACAACUUCCUUUCUUCUCUUUCCAUGGUUCAUUUUACAUAACAUAAAUCCCUGCAUAUUUUACAGAAACUAUACCACUCAAUAUUCCAUUAUUACAUCCAUCACAACUUAUUUAUACCGCUGAAUUUAUCUUAACGCUGCCAGCAUUUUCAGCUGUACACAGUUAUUUCCUAUAUAUUUUCCAAUCUUCUCUAAACUUACGCUCUUCUUGUUCUCUCAUUCUAUAUGUUAGGUCUGCAAGUUUUGCAUACUCUGUCAGCUUAAGUUGCCAUUCUUCUUUGCCUGGGACCUCGCUCGUUUUCCAUUUUUGGGCUAACAAAACACGGGCCGCAGUGGUGGCAUACAUAAAUAACCUGUUUUGACACCUGGGAAUUUCAGUCUGAAUUAUCCCCAACAGAAAGGACUCUCAGUUUUGGGGGGAAAAGUAAUUUUAAACAUUCCCCCCCAAGUCAUUAUGGAUCAUCGCUUAUCGCUUCUCCUGCUUUUGAUCUUGCCGCACACAUAGAAGUCAAGUAUACAUCAAGAUCGGUCACCUUGAGCCAAGGACAACCUCUCCACCAAACCUACCUUACAGGAUUGUUGUAAAGGAAAAAAAAUGUAUGAAAGAAGGAUCGUGUACAACACCUUCCACAGAUAAAUGGAAUGAAAUGUAGCAGUAAGCUGCCUUGCAUGCCUGCCAGGGAAAAGGUGGGUAGUAAUAAUAAUAAUAAUAAUAAUAAUAAUAAUAAUAAUGGAAACUGUGAGAAUGAUGAGGAACAUAGCAGAGCAGGAUUUAAGGUAAAGGUAAAGGGGCCCCUGACCAUUAGGUCCAGUCGUGACCGACUCUGGGGCUGCGGUGCUCAUCUCACUUUACUGGCCAAGGGAACCGAAGUUUGUCCGCAGACAGUUUUUCCGGGUCAUGUGGCCAGCAUGACUAAGCCGCUUCUGGCGAACCAGAGCAGUGCACAGAAACAGAGCGAACCAGAGCAGUGCACGGAAACAGAGCCUAGGACUUGCCGAUCAGAAGGUCGGCAGUUGGAAUCUCUGUGACGAGGUGAGCUCCCAUUGUUCUGCCCCAGCUCCUGCCCACCUAGCAGUUCGAAAGCACAUCAAAGUGCAAGUAGAUAAAUAGGUACCUCUCUGGCGGGAAGGUAAACGACGUUUCCGUGCACUGCUCUGGUUCGCCAGAAGCGGCUUAGUCCUGCUGGCCACAUGACCCGGAAGCUGCACGCCGGCUCCCUCGGCCAGUAAAGCGAGAUGAGCACCUCAACCCCAGAGUUGGCCACGACUGGACUUAAUGGUCAGGGGUCCCUUUACCUUUACCUUUAAAAAGGCUUAGGACUGCAGUGUAAGGCUACACAGUCUUUACUGGGUUACCUGGGAGUAAGCUCAACUGAAUACAGUGGGACUUACUUCUCAGUAGACAGUGUCAGGCUCCACUUACAAUAAAGGAAUAAACACUCCAUGCACUUCCUAAGAGAUGGCUGGCUGCGGAAGAAUUUCAAUGAGAGGAUUUAAAGUGGAUUGCUGACGUUUCCCUUCAAAAUUAUAGGAAGGACUUCUUCUGCCAGCGUCACCAUUUCCUCCAUUUGGUGCAGGGAUUUUAUGUUCAGGAUAAACAGGACUCCGGUCUUGCACCUACAAACGCACACUUUUCAUUGUUCUCUGAGACACGGAGGGGAGGGGAAAGGAAAAGCGGGACAUUCCAGGAUCAAAUCAGAAACCGGGACGGCUUCCGUAAUUCCGGGACUGUCCCUGUAUGCUGAACAUACAGCAGGCAACUUGGAAGCGUAUUCAGCCAUACUGGUACGUAGCAUAAGACCAUGUUAGGAUAUUUUCAAGGAGGGUCUGAUAUGGUUUCAAUUGGAUGUGGGACCGUGUGUCAAAAAAUACGUUAGAAAAACAGUUUGGUUUGAAAAUACGUUUUUAAAAGUUAGAUAUCUGGGAAUCUGGCUCACAGUAAGAAAUCUCAACUUCUUUGAAAAUAAUUAUGUUAAACUGUGAAAAGAGAUUAAAAAAAAAGUCGGAGAUCUGGGAGAGAGAAUGAAGCAGUCCUUGCUUGGCAAAAUCUCAGCCACCAAAAUGAAUCUACUGCCCAAGAAAAAUCUACUGAAUUAUUAUAAAUAAUUCAGGCUGCUUCAAAAAAUGGAAGGAGGAUAUUUCCUAUUUCAUCUGGCAGGGGGGAAAGCCAAGAAUUAAACAUAAAAUUGUGAUAGACAUAAAUGGAAAAGGAGGCUUCGCCCUGCCUGACCUGCAAAUGUAUUAUGAGGCAGCCUGCUUGUGCUGGUUAAGAGAAUGGAUUACAUUGGAUAAUGCACACAUUCUGGACCUGGAGAGUCAUGACUUAAAAUCUGGCUGGCAUUUGUUGAGAUUCGUACAUUUCAGGGGGUUAGAGGACCCUUGCGGUCCCUUUCCAACUCUUCAACUCUAUGAUUCCAGAAACCUGCUGAAUCAGGUCAAAGGUCCACCUGGUCCAGCCUCCUGUACUCACAGUGAUGGAGGAACAAAUGCGCACAGGAAACCCACAAGCAGGAUCUGAGCACAAGAGCAACUCUCCUUCCUGCAGCUUCCAGAAGCUGGUAUUCAGAAGCAUCUCUGCCUCCAGCUGUGGAGUCAGUGUGUUCACCAUGGCUGGUGGCAAGAUAGCCCUCUCCUCCUCCAUAAUGUUGUCUAAUCCUCUCUCAAAGCCAUCCAGGGUCAUGGCCAUCCCAGCUUCCUGUGGGAGGGAGUUCCGCAGUUUAACUACAUGCUGCAUGAAGAAGGACUUGUUUUCUCUGCCCGGAACCUUCCAACUUUUAGCUUCCUUUCGGGGGGUAUCUGGCUGGCCACUGUGAGAACAGGAUGCUGGACUAGAUGGACCUCCUUCGGCCCGAUCCAUCUUCAUAGCUUUUGUGGAUUUAAGUUCCUAAGCCAAGACAUAUGGUCUCUCUCCAGAGUAUUUAUUAAGUUUAGAAAGGGGAAGGGCCAAGAACAUAAUCAAAGAAAGACUCAGGGACAUUGAAACCCAAAAUGACUUUAACCAACUUCCGAUAACUUAUAAACUUCUAUACAAUACUCAAAGGCCCCAUCUAGCAAACUAUCUCAAAGUUCUAGACAACGCUAAACACCGAUGGGCAUUUUCCAGGGCCCGCUUUAACGCUCUCCCUUCAGCUCUUCUAGAGGGAAGAUACAAUAAAAUACCGAUCGAACAAAGAUUAUGUCCCUGUAACAGCAAUGAAAUCGAAACCAUUGGGCAUGUCAUCUUAUACUGCCCAUUAUAUCGAGACUCAAGAAAAGAGCUGAUCGAACCGAUUCUGAGGAAAAUACCUCGUAGUACAGACGACACCUAUAUCAGACACCUCUUAGCUGACAAAGAGCCCGAAAUUAACAGGUCCGUGGCAAAGUACUGUUACAUUGCAACAAGAAUAAGACGAGCAAUGAUGUCUACAAAGGAGUUCAAACUGUAAACACCGAAGGAACGAUAAUAAACAGUAGCGACUCCUGAAUUGAAUUUUAAAAACUUAAAACUCGCAACCUGGUCAUAAAUAUAAGCACCAAUUCUGUGAACUGGCCAUAUUUUUACUGCUACUUGUAGCACAAUACUACUUUUAAUGUCAUAUUUUAUGAAUUGCUUCCUGGUCAUUGACCGUAUUAAAGAUAUUUGAUUUGAUUUGGUUCCUAAGUCAAGUGCAGAUGCACUAAGACAGCCUUUCUCAAACCUGUGGGUCCCCAGAUGUUGUUGGACUACAACUCCCAUCACCCCUAGCUAGCAAGGCCAGAGCUCAGGGAUGAUGGGAGCUGCAGUCCAAAAACAUCUGGGCACCCAGAGGUUGAGAACCACUGCACUAAGAUAACCAGGCAGCCACCCGCACAGCUGUUUUACACCUUGCAGCUGCCGAGUCCUGUUCCAAACUGUUGUAAAACCUUGCGGAGGUCAGUUACGUUUUUCUAGCAUAUCAUCAACCCAGAAAACAAACAUCCUCUGGCUUUUAAAUUGGCAGGAGACAGAUUACUGUUCAGUCAGCAAAUACAGCUGAUACAAAACAAGGGUGUGGGAGGGGAGCAGGGAGGAACUGGUUCCGGCUCCUGAAUGAACCUUGUCGCCCCAGAGCGCUCCCAGAUUCUCACUGCUUGCGGGUGGAUUCGGCGACCGCAAACCAGAAAAUUCAGUUUGUGCAAUUAUUCCCAACCGAGUCACAGAGCUGUAGAGCUGGAAGGGAAUUGUGGAGCUGGAAUCUUGAGCAGUGCUUCCUGCGUUGCAGGGGGUUGACUAGAUGGCCCUUGUGUGCCCCUUUCAGCUCUACAAUUCUACGAGUCGAAGGCUGGAAGAGCGCCUCUGUUUUCAAGAGCCUGAAAUUAAAGUCUGCAGCCUGAAAUUAUAGUCUAUGCCAUGGGUAGGCAAACUAAGGCCUGGGGCCCGGAUCCGGCCCAAUCGCCUUCUAAAUCCGGCCCACGGAUGGUCCAGGAAUCAGUGUGUUUUUGCAUGAGUAGAAUGUGUCCUUUUAUUUAAAAUGCAUCUCUGGGUUAUUUGUGGGGCACAGGAAUUCAUUCCUUUUUUUCCCUUCAAAAUAUAGUCCGGCCCCCCACAAGUUCUGAGGGACAGUGGACUGGACCCCUGCUGAAAAAGUUUGCUGACCCCUGGUCUAUACUAUUCUAAUGAUUGUUGAAUAUUACAUUUUUUAAUGUAAGUUGCUUGUUUUAAAGUUAUGUUUUAUUAUCACAUUUUUGUAUUGCAUUGAUUGUUAUAAGAUGUACAUUUUUUGUUUCUUCAGCUUGUAAACCGCCUUGAGUGUUGUAAGGUAGAAAGAUGGUAUACAAAUUAAAAGUGAUGAUGAUGAUGAUGAUGGAUGCUUUCGGCAUCUGCACAGCUGAAAGGCAGGCUUCAACUUUGCAAGCUAAAAAAAUGGUUUUUUCUAUAGAGGUUUUGUGUUUGUGUGUGCGUGUGCAAGGACAAGAAGCCUUUCCUCUCAGCUGCCUGCACCUCUGUAAGCUGUGCUCCUCUCCCUGGGAUGAAAAUCAAACCCAGGAGUCCUGCUGCCAUGCCUGCUCUUCACACACUUCUGCAUAGCAGGGACUAGAUGACCUUUGGUGGCCCCUUUCAAUUCUAUGAUCUGCUGCUAGGACCAUCCUCACCAUCCCUUAACAAGAAAAACCUCCUCCUCCUUGCUAGGCACCAUAUUGGCAGAAGGGCUAAUUACCGAGGCAGGCGGCAAUUCACCACGAUCAUUAGAUCUGCUAAGGAAGCGCAUUUGUAACAAUCAUGUGCAGAAGGAGACGGCUCACAUUUCAGUUAGUCAUGCCGCAGUAGGACGCCGUUUCACUGAAGAGGGGCUGCCUGCAGAUCAGGUCACAACUGUAGAGAUGGGAGGGACCCAAAGGGUCUCCUCCCCUUUGCAUCCAUCAUGGGUUUGGCGGACCGUUCACAAGUGCAGCUCAAACCUGCAGAGGAUUCACUUUGAGCCCUGGAGGUUUGCACAUAUGGGUGGAGAACAGCCUUUAAGAAAGGUGUCAUGGGUUUUGAAGACACCCGCUCAGGACAAAAGGGAGAAACACGCUAGGAGGAAGACACACUUGGCAAACCCUCACCAUGAUCAACUCCUGCCCAGAAACCAAUGUCCCCACUGUGGAAGGACAUGUGGAUCCAGAAUUGGCCUCCACAGUCACUUACAGACUUACUGUUAAGACCGUGUUCAUGGAAGACAAUCUUAUUCGGCUAUGAGAGAUCACCUAAGAAGAAGAGAAGAAGUUGUAUGGGGCAAGAGGAGCUCAUCUAAGCCCACAAGGAGGAGACAGUCCAUCGAUUCCGCACCAAUCUAUGAGGACCAGUUGAUAAUCAUGAGCCAGUAGUCAAGAAUGAUGCAGCGGAUCAGAUGGCAAUUGAUCAGAUAUGGGUUUCUAGUGAAAUAACCACAAGAAUAAUAAAGACUGAGAUUCAGCCUAAAGUUCUAUCAGACCACAAUGCGGUUAAAGCUAUUUUAAGAGGAAAUGAAGAAAAAUCUUUUCGGUGGAGAUUAAAUGAAAGUCUUUUAGAUGAUCAGAAGAUUGUGGACAGAGCUCAGAAAUGUUUAAUGGACUAUUUUGUAAAUAAUGUUAACAAAGGAACAAAGAUGAGUACGGUUUGGGAUGCGAGCAAAACUGUUAUGAGAGGAUUCUUCAUUCAACAAAAUGCAAUAAAAAAUAGAAUGAGAGAAAAAGGGAAAAAAGAAAUUUUAAGACAAAUAAUGGAGAAUGAAAAAAAAUUAACUAUAAGACCCAAGGAUGAAAAGGUCAAGCCAAGUAUAAAAAUGCUCCAGACGCAAUUUGCGAUGAUAAUCAAUAAAGAAGUAGAAUGGAAUAUAAGAAGAAUGAAACAAAAGAAUUUUGAAUUUGCAAAUAAAUCAGGGAAAUGGUUAGCGUGGCAAAUUAAAAAAAGGAAAGAACAGAACACAAUUAAUAAAAUCAAAAUAGAAGAUCAAGAGACUGAGAAUCCGAAAGGAAUAAGGAAAGGUUUUGUGGACUUUUACCGAGAUCUAUAUAAAAGAAAAGAGAACUCAACAUAAAGACAAUGGAGGAGUAUUUAAUGAAGAAAAAGGUGCAAAAAAUAUCAAAGAGUAAUAAAAUUAAAUUGAAUGAACCAAUAGAAUUAGAAGAAAUUCAAAUGGCAAUAAAGGAUUUGAAGAGUGGGAAGUCGCCGGGACCGGAUGGAUUCAGCGCAAGAUACUAUAAAGAAAUGAAACACACUCUACUUGUACCAUUGAAAGAAGUAAUGAAUAACAUAUUGAAAGAAGGAGAAAUACCUGAGACCUGGAAAGAAGCAUAUAUAACGUUUAUUCCCAAACAAGACUCUGAUUUAACGCAGGUUAAAAAUUACAGGCCAAUUUCAUUAUUGAAUAACGACUAUAAAAUGUUUGCAAAUAUUCUAGCAAAUAGGAUGAAAAAGGUAUUAAAGGAAAUGAUUCAUAAAGAUCAAACAGGUUUCCUUCCUGGUAGGCAGAUGAAAGAUAACAUAAGAAAUAUAAUUAACAUAAUAGAGUAUCUGUCAAACAGGAAAGAUAAACAAGCGAUGUUGAUAUUUGUGGACGCUGAGAAGGCCUUUGAUAAUAUCUCUUGGGAAUUUAUGUUGAAGAAUUUGAAAUAUAUGGAUAUGGGUCAAUCUUUCCUGAGUGGUAUAAAGGCAAUAUAUUCGGAGCAGAGAGCAAAAUUAAUUGUUAACAAUGUUAUAACAGAAAAUAACAGAAAAUAUUGCCAUAACUAAGGGUACAAGACAAGGGUGUCCUUUAUGUCCGUUAUUAUUCAUUUCGGUCCUAGAGGUCUUCCUAAGAACACUAAGAAAUAAUGAAAAAAUAAAAGGUGUGACACUUGGUUGUAAUGAAUACAAGGUCAAAGCCUUUGCCGAUGACUUGGUUAUAACUAUAGAGUGUCAAAGAGGUGUUAGAAGAGAUAGAACAUUUUGGUCAGGUGUCCGGCUUUAAGUUAAAUAGGAAAAAAACUAAAAUAAUUGCUAAGAAUAUGGAUCAAGAGACAAUAGAAAAAAAUACAGCAACAAACAGAGAUGAAUGUGGUUAAGAAAGUUAAGUAUUUAGGGAUUACGUUAACUCCCAGGAGUAUUGACCUGUUUCAAAACAACUAUGUACCAAUAUGGAAUAAAAUUAAUCGGGACCUAGAGGUGUGGGGAAGAAUGAAACUAUCAUUAUGGGGAAGAAUUGCAACGAUAAAGAUGAGCGUGCUACCGAAAAUGUUGUUUUUGUUUCAAACAAUUCCAAUAAUUAAAGGUGUGACAAUAUUCAAAGAAUGGCAAAGAAUAACGUCAAGAUAUAUCUGGCAGGGCAAGAAACCAAGAAUAAAAUUUAAGAUAUUAACAGAUGCAAAAGAUAGAGGAGGCUUUGCCCUGCCAGAUUUAAAGUUAUAUUAUGAAGCUUCGUGUCUUUGCUGGGUGAAAGAAUGGAUAAAGUUAGAAAACACAGAAUUGUUGGAUUUAGAAGGUUAUGAUAAUAGAUUCGGUUGGCACGCGUAUUUAUGGUGUGAAAAGAAUAGAGUGCAUAAAGGUUUUGAAAACCACAUCUUUAGAGGAUCGUUGAUUGAAGUCUGGAAUAGGUAUAAAAAUUUAUUAGAGUUUAAAACUCCAUAUUGGUUAUCACCACUGGAGAUAAUGAGUGUGAAAAAGAUCAAUAUGACAGGGAGAUGGAUUACAUAUGAGAAUUUGAUAAUCAAAGAAGGUAAUAAAUGGAAAUUGAAACCAUAUGAAGAAGUCAAAGAAAAUGUGAAUGAUUGGUUGCACUAUUUUCAGUUGAAUGCAAUGUUCAAAAAAGAGAUGUCAGAAAGAGGUUUUCAGGAAAAGAAAUCUAGGUUUCAUCAAGAAAUCUUGAAUAGUGAUGUUAAAAUUUUAUCAAAAAUGUAUAAAUUAUUACUUGAGUGGCAUACAAAGGACGAAGAAGUAAAAUCAGUUAUGAUUCAGUGGGCCAAAGAUUUUGGUUAUAAUAUACAAUUUGAUGAGUGGAUAAAAUUGUGGAAAGAAGGAAUGAAAUUCACUGCAUGUACUACAAUAAAAGAAAAUGUUAUGAAAAUGAUAUAUAGAUGGUAUGUAACACCAGUGAAACUUGGUAAGAUGUAUAAAGUCAGUAAUAAAUGUUGGAAAUGUCAGGAAAAAGAAGGAACAUUUUAUCACAUGUGGUGGGAGUGUAAGAAAGUGAAAGGUUUCUGGGAAAUGAUUUAUAAUGAGAUGAAGAAAAUGUUGAAAUAUACUUUUGUUAAGAAACCAGAAGCAUUUUUAUUAGGAAUAUUAGGGAAUGAAAUUAAAAAGAAGGAUGUGAAGUUAUUUAGGUAUGUAGUGACAGCAGCUAGAAUUUUGAUGGCCCAGAAAUUGAAACAGGAAGAAAUGCCGACGAGGGAAGAAUGGAGAAUGAAAUUGAUGGAAUAUGCAGAAAUGGACAAAUUAACGGGGAAAAUUCUGAAACCAACGCGAUCAGAGAUUCACCGAGGACUGGAAUAAAUUUACAGAGUAUAUAAAAAAUGUAUGUGAGGAGCAAUUAACGCUUGUUGGCUUUCAAGAAGCUCUGUGAAAACGAUUGAUAGAAAUGUUGCUUAAAAGAUAUGAUAAGAUUAAGAUUGUUAAAGCGCAAUAUAAAUUUAAGAAAUGUGAGUAAUUGUGAUAAUAUGGAAAAUUGUCAGAUAGGCUGAGGGAAGUCUAAAAGAUGUAUAUGUUAGAAGUGGAUGUUAAACAUGGAUGGAAUGUAUAUUGGAAAUUGAAUAAAAAUUAAUUAUAUAUAUAAAAAAAGAAUGAUGCAGCGGUUGGAGGUUUGUUUAUUCACUCAUUGGCAAGAUCUCUUAUCUGACCUUUGCCAUAAUGUCCCCAGAGUGGGAUACCAAUAUGUGAUAUAAGGAUCACAGAAUUGUAGAGUUGGGAGGGACCUGAGGAUAAUCUCCUCCAAUCCCCUUCAAUGCAGAAAACUCAGCUAAAGCAUCCAUGACAGAUGGCUCCCCAACCUCUCCUUAAAAACCUCCGAGGAAGGAGAGUCCGCCUCCUCCUGAGGGAGACCGUUCCACUGUCCAGCAGGAAAACUGUUCCAACUGUUAUGUACUGAGCUGAAUCCUAGAACAAUAGGAUCCAGAAUGCAGCAGUCCGAUUGGUCCGCAGGAGCCACCCAAUCCAGCUCCAGGUGGAAGUGAAUCAGUGACCUGAUUGGCCUACAGGAGCAGACCGGAAUUAGCCAAUCACGUGGGGCCCAUUGUGUAAAUAAUGUAUAUAUAGCUAGAUUUUUUGGGGAAAGUUUGAUUCUUUUCUACUACAAGCUGAAUAAAGAGCAUGAAAUUCACACUCGACUCCGAGUAUAAUUCACCAACCAAAACAGAAUGGUAUAAAUUCAGCAAAAGACACAGGUCUGCCAAAAAGCAAAGCAUCCUCCUGGACUUCCACCCUCUGCUUUGUGGGUCCUAACUUAAUCAUUUCCUCCCACAUCUUUUUUGAUGAUCCAAAUCUUUUACUUCUCCAUUGUCACAUCCCUGACACAGCUGUGGGUUUCACUAGGUGGCCAGGACAGGUAAAACAAAAGUCAUUUGUGGGGGAACUCCCCCAUUAACCCCGUCAUUCUUGUAUUGCAAAUGUUUGGACCCGUGGGGAUCCCUUCCAACCUUGCUAUUCUACGAUUCCGUGAUUCUAAUCCAGGGGUCCCCAAACUAAGGCCCGCGGGCCAGAUGAGGCCCGAGGGACUCGUUUAUCCGGCCCGCGGUGACCCCUGCUGCCCGCUGCCACUGCCCGCUCUUACCGGGCUGCGCUGUGUGACUGCCCACUUCAGGGUCGGAGGAGCACCGGAAACAGCUUGUGCGCAUGCGCAAGCGUUAUUUGCUCAUGUGCAAGCAUUAUUUCCAGUGCACAUCCGGGUCGGAGGAGGCCCGUGCACAUGCGCACAAGCUAUUUCCGGUGUUCCUCCGACCCGGAAGUGCGCCGGAAAUAGCGUGUGUGCACGUGUAUGGGCACACACUCCCCCCGCCCUCCGGCCUGCCGCGCGAUCGGCGCUGGAGACACCAGUUUGCUGACCACUGUUCUAACCCGGCAAUGUCAGGGAAUCAGGCACAGACAUGGGGAAGCCCAAGGGAAUGCCCUUUCGGAGUUGCCCUCUCCUGUGCCACCCAUUUCCGAACCAGACCUGUGAGCAGCACUCUUGCCAGCACUGGCAGAGGCACGCUCAUCCCUUAAUGACUGCAACAUCGCAUGGCAGGGCUGGCAAGCGUCCAGUUUGCUCGCCAAAGACAGAGCGUUGCUGUCACCCUACAUCGCCCUCAGAGGCAGCACACUCAGUGGAGGCUGUUUACAUGGACAGCUGGAGUGAAGGUGCCAAGGAGGAUAUGAGCAGAAAUCUGGGGAACAAGCCAAGAAGCGGGUAAGGUCCUCCUCCGUCCUGGAAGAGAUGAUAUAGAUGGAAUGGUUUGCCAAGUGGUCGGCAGCAGGAACCUCUAUGCAUCUUCCUUCCUUCCUUCCUUCCUUCCUUCCUUCCUUCCUUCCUUCCUUCCCCUACCUCUUCCCUUUCCUCUCCUUGCAGCUGAUCCAGAAGCUGCAGUUCAUGCAGAAUGCUGCAGUCCAAUUGCUGAACAGGUGUGAGCCCUUGCCAGCAAAUAACACCUGGGCUCAGAAAUCCGCACUGCUUGCCGAUUCGCUGCCAGGACAAUUUCAGGGUGUUGUUAUGAAUGUGCAAAGCCUUUAGCAGUUUGAGACCAGUUUACCCAUGAAACUGACUUACCCACUCGAACCCUUCAAUGGGCAAAACUGGCCCAUCAGCCGCAUUUUGUUCCACAUUUGUGAAAACGUGACGUUUCAUUCCACUAGGCAGCACCUGCACUUUGGAACUCCCUGCCACUUGAACGCCAGACAGGAGCCUUCACUGCUUUCGGCACCUGCUGAAAACAUUUUACCCAGAUGUACAGAAAGCUGAUGCAAACUUUAAUCUGCUUUUAGUCUAUUGGAAGGAUUAAACCAUUGGAUUAGAUGGGCCUGAUCCAACAGGGCACUUAUAUGUUCUUAAGACUUUAACUCUUAACCCCAUUUCCUGUGGGGUUACCAAUGUCAAUAAAUCGCCAAAUCCAUGUUUGGAAACUAGCUGUAUUUAGGAAGUCACUGCAGACCACCCUUCCUUGACCUGGUGCCCUCCAAUUAUCUUGAACUAUAACUCCCAUUUAUCUGCCCCUGGGAGUAUGGCCACACUGGAACAGGGAUGAUGGGAAAUAUAGUGCAAAACAUGAGGGGGGAGGUCGACUUUCUGCUGUCCAUCAGGCAAUAGCUUUUCCCACCUGCCUUGCUCCACCCUCCAGCCUCAGGAGUCUUUCCCAGACCACAGCUUUGAAAACAGCAGAAGCUGUUCAGGGAUAUUUUAAAAAAAUAUUUUUAUAAGUUGUGUGCCCUUGUUUCCCAAUUUGAUCCUUUCACAUGGUUUUGGAUGUUUUGUGGUAUUUUGUGCACUGCGACAGGCUAUUGUUUUUAUUGAUCAUACUUUAGUAAUUAUUUAUAGCAAAGAAUAAGUGUACAGUGGUACCUCGGGUUACAGACGCUUCAGGUUACAGGCGCUUUGGGUUACAGACUCCGCUAACCCAGAUGUAGUACCUCUGGUUAAGAACUUUGCUUCAGGAUGAGAACAGAAAUUGCAUGCUGGCAGUGCGGCAGCAGGGGGAGGCCCCAUUAGCUAAAGUGGUACCUCAGGUUAAGAACAGUUUCAGGUUAAGAAUGGACCUUCAGAAUGAAUUAAGUUCUUAACCCGAGGUACCACUGUAAACUGCUUAAAUUUUAUUUGCUGAUGUUUGAUUUUACUGUUUACUAUUACAUUCUGAUGGAUUAAGUUGUUUAUUUUAAAGUUAAUGUGGCUUUUUGUAUUGGGUCAGAUUGUUAUGAGGAGUGUGACUUUUGCUGUCUAUUUUGUUGUUUCUUCAGCUUUGUAAGCUGCCUUGUGCAUAGUAAUAUAGAAGAGUUUGGAUUUGAUAUCCCGCUUUAUCACUACCCGAAGGAGUCUCAAAGCUGCUCACAAUCUCCUUUCCCUUCCUCCCCCACAACAAACACUCUGUGAGGUGAGUGGGGCUGAGAGACUUCAAAGAAGUGUGACUGGCCCAAGGUCACCCAGCAGCUGCAGGUAGAGGAGCGGAGACGCGAACCCGGUUCACCAGAUUACAAGUCUACCGCUCCUAACCACUACACCACACUGGCUCUCCAUAUAGGAAGGCGGCAUAUAAAUUCUAAUAAUAAUAAUUUAUUUAUUUAUACAUACAUGCAUGCAUACAUACUCUGCCCAUCUGGCUCGGUUUCCCCAGCCACUCUGGGCGGCUCCCAACAAGAGUAUUAAAAACACAAUAAAACAUCAAACAUUUAGAAACUUCCCUAAAAGUGAAAUGAAAGGAACGUCUUGUUUGGGAAAGGCAGCCGUUCAGAAUCUGCUAAACCUUUGGAAGUUUCAGAUACAGCAAAACUGGCUGCCGCUCAGAGCGAUUUACAUCUCUGCCCCUUCUAGGUGGGUGUGGCUUACAGCUAACCUCUAGAACAGUGAUGGCCAAACUCGGCCCUCCAGCUGUUUUGGGACUACAACCCCCAUCAUCCCUAGCUAACAGGACCAGGGGGCAGGGGUGAUGGGAACGGUAGUCCCAAAACAGCUGGAGGGCCAGUUUGGCCAUCACUGCUCUAGAACAAAAAGAGAAGGUGGUGGUCAGUUGGUCCUUCCCUUUGUCCUUUUGACAUGCUCUCGCUCUUUCUGUGCUCCCCUGGCUUGGAAAUAAAAAAGAAACUGCAGCAGCAGCAGCAGCAGGGACUCACAAUCAGAUUAUUUCCCAUUUAGGCAGGCUGCUAACACAUAUCAAUUAGGGUGUGAUUUAUCAGAGUGUCACUGACAGUGGAUAAUUGCAUUGAGCUGCAAGCCGAGAGAUCUAGCUUCUAGCCAGUGGCUGAAGGGACUAAAGUCAUGGGCUGCUGAGAAAAGGAGGAGAAGGGGAAGGGAGAGAGAGAGAGAGAGAGAGAGAGAGAGAGAGAGAGAGAGAGAUCCGUCCCAUUAAAGCAUGACUUUCCGCUGAGUUUUCGACUGGCGGUCUCCUAAAUUAAGGCCCCAAAGUAGGUGGGAAAUGACUCCCAAAACCAGAUCCAUCCUAACCCCUGGAUGGCUUCCAGGAUAUGCUCCAGUUGUUGGGGAUAGCCAGAGGUAGCAACCUCAAAUGUGGUUCCCAUCUCUGCCAGCCAGCAUGGCCAGCGGUCCAGGGCAAUGAGUGUUUCUGUUACCUUUGUUUAUAUCCUGACUUAUACUCCCAGACCCAAGGCAGCUUAAAGACAUUAAAACGAUGCAGGGAAAAUACAAAAAGCUAAAAACAGGGAAGUUCAUUACAAAGGUGAUUAAAUUCGAAUAGAAUUGAAACAAUAUUAACAACAAAUCUAUUAAAAGGCAGAUAAUAAAAGCGUUGCGGUGCUUCUAAGACCCUUUCCUUAAAACCCAGUCUGCUCUCCCUAAGGUUCUUGUUGGCAUACUUCUGUCCUGGAAUACAGUUGGAUGGGACCCUGAGGGUCAUCUAGUCCAACCCCCUGCAAUGCAGGAAUAUGCAGCUGUCCCAUAUGGGGAUCAAACCUGUAAACCUUCAUGUUAUCAGCACCCCGCUGUAAGCAACUGAGCUACCCAGGUCGAUAAGAGACAUCGACUUAAUGGGACAAUGGAGUGCACUUCCAGGGGUGAAGUCAGAAUAACACCUGGGAGGCAAAUGUGGACCUCUAGACCUGUCUAUGCGGCCCUUUGGAUUCUGGCCAUGCCCCCUCUCCCAGGCCCCCCCCUCCAUCCCUCCCCCCCCCCCCCGGAUUGCUCUGGCUUGGCAGAUUACAUCCUUGGACGGCAUUGCUGCCUCUUGCCUGCCUGUGUGGGGAGAGGAGUCUGUAGUGGGGAGACCUCUGACCUUUGCAUGCUUGUGAAUGCACUGUAUUGUACAAAAGGCAAAAUUAUUAUUAUUAUUAUUAUUAUUAUUAUUAUUAAUGUAUUUAUUUAUACCCCGCCCACAUCUGGCUGAGUUUCCCCAGCCACUCUGGGAGGCUCCUAACAGAAUAUUAAAAGCACGAUAAAGCAUCAAACAUUAAAAACUUCCCUAAAUAGGGCUGCCUCCAGAUGUCUUCUAAAAGUCAGAUAGUUGUUUCUUUCCUUGACAUCUGGUGGGAGGGUGUUCCACAGGGCGGGUGCCACCACCGAGAAGGCCCUCUGCCUGGUUUCCUGUAACCUCACUUCUUGCAGUGAGGGAACCACCAGAAGACCCUCAGAGCUGGACCUCAGUGUCUGGGCAGAAUGAUCGGGGUGGAGACGCUCCUUCAGGUAUAUUGGGCCAAGGCCGUUUAGGGCUUUCAAGGUCAGCACCAACACUUUGAAUUGUGCUUGGAAACAUCCUGGGAGCCAAUGUAGGCUCUGGUACUGCUGUACCCACUUUCGCCUCUGGCCCUGACUGGCACAUGCCCCCUAGAAGAUAGCCCAUGAGAUAAUACGGCCCCAGGCCGAAAACAUUUCCCUCCAGCUGUACGGCAGGGAUCCAAGGAUAUCUGGAAUUAACCAUGCUGGUUCCCCCAUUGUAGAGACUGGAGGCCUCUAGAGACUGGUCAUCCUUUUGUGUUGCUGGAUCAAUUUCUUUGCAGGAGACAGGUUGCGGUGGAUAUUUAUCAUUCUAAAAUCAUUUUUGUUGGGAUAUUUUAAUGAGCUGGAGAUUUAGAACCUUGCAGAGCUGGUGCAGAAGGGAAGAACGGGGAACAGGUUAAACGACAAACCAGGAGGUCCACAGUUCAAAUGUCUCCUCUGCCAUGGACUCCCUGAAUGGCCAUCAGAAAGCCCUUUUCGUUUCAAGCUUUGGCAACUCUGAAAUAUGGGGAGAUCAUCUUACUGACCUACCCCCCCCCCCCCCGUUGCUGUAAGGAUUACAAGGCACUAUACAUGAGAAGUCCCGAAAACACAAAUGAACCCUGGGGACCUUGAUUCUCUUGCGAUAAAACAGGGUUUUCUCCAUAUUCAUGAGGACUAGGAAGUUAUUUUUCUAAGAGACUGGAGGUCACAGCAAAAUCCUCGCGAAAUGUUGAAGAAUAAGGACAUCAGCAGUUGGGCAGGAGAGAUGUUAAGAGUGGCAUUUCCACUGGAAGUUUGGUCACUAGUCACCCCAGAACACAUGCAAGGUGCUCAUUCAGCCUUUCCCAAGCUGUUGCCCUCAGGAUCUUUUGGACUACAACUCCCAUCAGCCCCAGCCAGCAUGCUGAUGGGAGUUGUAGUCCAAAGCAUCUCUCUGGCCUGUGCUAACUGGGACUUCUCUGAGUUGCAGUCCAACUCACCCAGAGGGCACCAGGUUGGGGAAGGUCCUGUGCUAACUCCUAGGCCCUGCUGCUUAUUUUCAAGAGCAAAGAACAAGCAGCUCGCAGGCGUCUCUGCAAGAUUCAGUGGGGAACUCUAAUUUCUCCUGUCGCAGGAAGCUUCUGCCUCUUCCUGGCAGGGGAAAUGAAGAAAUUCUGCAAUGAGUGUUGCAGAGAAGCAGGGAAACAGGAAGUGAAAGAUCCUCACGCUCAGACACUCAGCGUCUGCAAAUUUUGCAUUUCAUUUGCUUCUGCCCUGACCAUACUGCUUGCACUUCCACCCCACCCUCACACAAUGUGCAUCUGAGGAUCACACUUCGCACCUCUAAGGAAGGCCGACUCCGGUCCUUGGCAGUGUGGGAUGUGAAACACAAAGCAGUCAAAUAGAACAUUCCUAGAGUGGACAUAAAAAGGGGAUGUCUGGACCAGCCAGUCAGAACUUCCUGUUUCCUCCUGGGCUGGGACAGACCUCCUCUACAUGUGACCAGAGGUGGGCAUGACCUCACCUGUACAGGUAACAAAAUAGCACAAGGGAGGCUGCCAUCUCUCUCUCUGACUCCAUUGUUCGAAGAAGCAACAUCUUCUUACCCUGAGAGGACAAAGGAACUAUCUCCUCAUGAGAUAGAUUCCAGGUGUAUAUACUUUGUAACUUAAGUCUGCCUUCUGGGAUCCAUCUGUGAACAGAAUGUGUGUGAGUAAACUCUUUUAUACUUUUAUACAAGACUGUGUCAUGUCUAAUCUUUUAUGAGGGAAUAAAGGGGAAUUGACCGGGAAAUUUAUUUUAGAGGCUUAUACAAGCCUGGCAAAGACGUUAUUCGCUGGUACGAGUUUAAAAGGGGAAUGUUACUCUGCUAAAUUGUAGAACUUGUUAACACAAGUUGGGAAGGAUAUAAUUAAACAAUAUAUCCUCUCCUGCCUCCCUGAACAUUCCCACAGGCAUCAUGAACAUGAGUGGAGCCUGCUGGAUCAGCCCAAUGGCCCAUCUAGGUCAGAAUCCUGCUCUCACAGGGGCCAACCAGAUGCCCCAAUGAUAAGCACCCACCUCCACCCCACAGGGUAGCUGGCAUGGGGCCCUCAAGACACUGAAGGACUUUGGGAACAGAUUUAUAACGAAUUGAAAAAGAUAUUUAAAUACACUUUCCCGAAAAAGCUUUCUUGCUAGGCUUGAUGGGACAGGAAAUAGAAAAGGCAGAUCAAAGGUUAUUUAUGUAUGCUACGACUGCUGCCAGAACUUUGUUAGCCCAAAAAUGGACAGCACCAGAAUUACCAACAAUAGAGGGCUGACAGACGAAGAUGGUUGAUUAUGCAGAACUAGCAAAACUGACCUGUAGAAUCCGAAAUCAGGAGGAAACAAAAUUCCAAAAAGAUUGGAGUAAAUUUAUGGAAUACAUAAAUAAUAACUGUAGAAAUUUGAAGACUCUGGCAGGACUGAAAUAAAUCUGAAAAUGUCGAUAGGAUUGGAUACAAUAAGAAACUGUGGAAAAGUAACUGACAUAAGAAAACCUGUUGAAGGGAGGGAGGGAAGCCAAUGCUCAGCAGUGUGGGUAAAUGACUGUUGAAUUUUACUGUAUUUUGUUUGUUUGUAUUAAAUGAAACACCAAUAAAAAGCAUUUUUUAUAAAAAAGACACUGAAUGACUCCAACUCCCAUCAGCCCCAGGCAGCAGGGUCAAGGAUGAUGGGACUUGCAGUCCUAUAAGAUCCGGAGGGCGCCAUGUUGGCUUCUUCAGUCACAGGCUAUCCAAGGGUGGUUCUGAAGAAAGGGGCAGCUGCAUGGCAUCAUUGCACCUCAAAAGACCGACAAGACUUCACUCAGCAGACAGUUAACCUAUGGAACUCCCUGCCACUGGAGGGUGAUGGCCACCAACAUGGAUGGUUCUAAAAGAGGAUCAGACAAAUUCAUAGAGAAGGAGAGGGCUGUCGAAGGCUACUAGCCAGGAUGGCUUUGGGCUGCCUCCACAGUUGGGGUCAGCAAAGCUUAUGGGUCACAGUUGCUGGAAACCACAGGAAGGGAGAGGGCACCUGCGCUCAGAUCCUGAUUGCAGGUUUCCCACAACGGGCAUCUGGUUGGCCACUGUAAGAACAGGAUGAUGGACUAGCUGGGUGGUUGACCUCAGCCAGCAGCAGCCCCUUCUUAUGUUUUUGUGGAAUGAAUGGUCAAUAAAGUCUGGACAUCAGCUAAUAGUCUGACAACAAAGUAAGCAAAUCAGGAUAAAUACUGAACAAAUCAGUCUGAAGUAGCCCUGGGUGUGUUUCAUGUGGCAGACAUCAGCAAACCGCCCAGGCUCCCUUAAAAAAAACCCAUGAAAGGUCAGAAAGAAACAAGGGUUUAAUGCCAUCGUUUCUCACUAUAGUUAUCACACAAGAACACGUUUAAGAAGCCUCAAAGCUUUUCUUUAAAUGUCAAGCGCAGAAGCGAUGAGAGAUUGGGAAGGGUGGGAGAGCGAGAAGACGAGCUGUAAACCCUUUUCCACAGCCACCGUCCUCCCCCCCCCCAAAAAAAAAUCAUGUCCCCACACCCCUUGACUUGGUCCACAACUCCACACACACAAACCCCAGACCAAAAGGAGUGUCUUUUCAGUAGCCGAGUCCCUUGGAGGUUUGGCGUCUCCAACAGCUUCUAGUAUUGUUUAGUACUGCAGUCAGAUUAUUUAUCGAUUUAUUUUUAUUAUGCACACCUAUUUCCACCCUCAGAUUGCAGGCCAGGUUAUGAUACCAAACGGCAUAGACAAGAAACACAGUCAUCAGCAAGCUAAACCGCGGAGACCUCUAAAAACCAGCUCGAUCGUGGCAUUUCUCUGUUGCUGGCAUCUAAAAAACAAUGGUGUGGUAAAUACCAUGAUGUGAUAACAGGGUGUGGACCAUGCAGGUCUCUCUACUGGACUCUCCCUAAACUAAACCACACCCCUUCUUCCCAGGCAGCCCCCCACCCCACCCCAUUGGACUGAAGUAUGCCUCUUGGAUUCCUGGAUGUGUAGAAACCUCUGGCCUUUACAUGCGCAUAGGAAACUGUGUUUUACAGAGUCAGACCGUCGGCUCACUGAGCUCAUAUUGCCUAGAGUUUCUCAUACUUGGGUCUCCAGCCAAUGGCAUAGCAUGGGGGGGAGGCUCCCCUGGGCACAAAAUUCUUAGGGGUACAAAAUUUCAAAAGACAAAAAAGUAGGAAUAAAAAAUAGCACAUCCUCCCCCUCACAGAGAAAAUCUCCUGACGAUCGCGUGGGCAGAUGGAGGAAUGAAUUUGAGUGACGGCCGCUUUUCUAGGGCACCCUCUGCACAGACUUUGGAAAGGUAAUCACUCUGAGCAAUCUCCCAUCCCACUCUCCUCCAUGCUCAAAGCUCAUGGGGCACCUCGGCUGCCACUCAGGUCAGUCGCUGAGCUAUCGCCCCUCCCUUCCACCCUAUCGGCAGGCAGCACUGAGGAUCCUUGCCUUGCUCCGGGUGCUGGCAACCCACGCUAAGCCACUGUCUCCAGCUGUUUUGGGGCUGCCACUCCCAACAUCCCUGGCUAGCAGGACCAGUGAUCAGGGAUGAUGGGAGCUGUAGUUCCAAAUCAGUUGGAGUUGGGGAAGCCCUGGUCUACCCUGAUUGGCAGUGAAAGUUCCAGGAGUUCAGGCAACAUUCUUUGCCAAGCCUACCUGGAGAUACCGUUGCGGAUUGAACCGGGACCUCUGAGCUAUGGCCCAUCUGUAUGGCUGAAAUGGCCGCUGAACAAAGGUGAGAGCCACAGCUGUCACUCUUCCUACUUUUGCACCCAGCCCCGCCCACAAGUAUGACGAAUGUUCCCCACUGGUGAUUGACGGUUGCUCAUUCAUAAUGAUACACAUGUCCGCUUAAGCCUUAAAAAGGCUUUGCCAACCCGGCGCCCUCCAGAUUCCAGAUAUUUCGGACUACGACUUCCAACAGGUUGGGCAAAGGCUGCCUUAGAAAGCCACAGCGCUGCUUCCUCUUAACCUCGCGCCACGCCAGCGCUGACCGAAAGCACGUUGCAUGUAUACAUUGCAGCAAAUGAACAUCUCUGCCAGAAUCACACAAUCUUGGUCCGGAACAGACGCCGGUCAGGAAAUCAGGGAACUGGGAGAGAUCCACAGCCAGCAGGGCUUCCGCCCAUCAGUUCACAUCACCCACAGGCUGCUGCUGCAGGCAGAGAGCAGAAGGGAUGGCAUUUGUGCCAAGAUGCUCCAGCAAUCAGACCAUUUUUCAGAAAACAGAACGGAGCCACAUGCUGCUCCAAAGAGCCUGAGGAGGCACACACGCAAUUCUCUCCCCCUCUCCAUGCUAACCUCACAACAGCCCUGUGAGGGAGGCUGGGCAGAGAGAUGGGGACGGGCUCAAAGUCACUUGGCGAGCUUCAUGCAUAGCUGUCAGUUUUUCCCUUUUCUUGUGAGGAAUCCUAUUUGGAAUAAGGGAAUUUCCCUUUAAAAAAGGAAAACAUUGACAGCUAUGGCUUCAGGAGAUGAGAACCCUGGUCUCGCUGGUGCUAGUCAGACACGCUAAUGACUGUAACAUGCUGGUGUCAGAGCACAGCAACGGAAAUGUGACAAAUAUACACCCCCCUCCAAAAAAUAAAUAAAUAAAACCACAACAACCCACAUUAGCAGUCUAAAAAAGUUACAGGGUUUCAACAGGAAAGUGCCCCAGUUGGGAAAAGUUGCAGUACACCCACCCUGAAACUUUGCAAGCUCAAACAGAAUUAAAGUGGGAUUGCGUAUAACCUCCUGAUACCAUCAAGAGCGCAAAUCAUGACAACCGGACAAUAAAAGAGGCAUCUAGGAGGAGGUCUCCCCUGGCAGACGUUUCAUCCCCAACCUGAAAGGCAGCGCAGAACAGGAAGGAAGGGAACACCCAAGUCCAAAAACUUUUACGCUCAAAAUCAUUUUCAGAGAAUGUCAGGGCCAACGGCGAACCGUUAUUUUCCUGUUUUAGGCAUAGGGGAUGGUUAGCUGUGACGCCCACCCGGACCCGGAGAGAUCUGGGGGCAACAGCGGGAAUAUGCCCUGACAGGGCAGAGUGAGGUUUAAAGUGAGUGGAUCUGCCGGGAUCCCUGACGGAUCAAGCACUAAGGAGCAGCCGUUCUCGCUCCCAGAAGACAAGGAGGAAAUGUUCCUCCGGCUGUCCUGAAAUGCUCAGCCUCGCCACCUACCAUGCUCCGUAAUGCUCGCUAGUGCUCAGUCAGUCACCUCGACUUCCCCAACAGGAAAACGCACACGCAACCGGAGCACAGUUGUUACGCUUGCACACGUGCACAAAGCCCUAAAGCAGAAAGGCAGGCAGGAAGCAAUUCCGGAGCCCUCUCGGGAACAGGGGACCCCCCCAGCAAGCUAAAGUCGGGCGUUCCUUCUCCCCGAAAAGGAUGUGAAUCGCAACUAUAAGAGACUAGGACAAGGAAAAGAGGGAGGCAGGGUUGCAAGCAGGGAGUUUGGGAGGCGCAGCCGAGCGCCCCUCAAAGCGCAUCGAGUAAAAACGGGUCCUUACACUCUCGAAGAAGGUGCCCAUGUCCGGAGCCCAUCACCUGCGAUCCGGCCAGCCUGCUGGGUCCCUGGAAAGUGGUGCUGAGGCUGCGGGGAGACAGGGCUCAGCUCGGCUGCCCUGGAAGAGGGAGUCUCGUCCUGCCCAUUUCCUCCAAGCUCCGGCUGCAACCGCUGCGGUCUGCAAGGCGGCUCUCCCUCGGCGCGAGAGCGCGCGGCUGCCUCUCUCUGUGCGAGGAUGAUGCAGGAGUGUGUGCGCCCGGGCGAGGGAGGCAGGAACGGGGCGCCGAGCCAAGCCGAGCCCCCCCCCCCCGCUCCCCAACUCAUCUGCCGAGCCUGGCGAGGGAGCCUCGCUCACCAGGACCAGCCUGGUUUUUUUGCGCGAGUUAGGAAGCACGAGCGCUUUCCGGCACAGAAAGCGAGAGCGCAGCUUCUCUCCACCCGCCUCUCUAAGUGAGAUUGAAGCUCUCUUUCAUAUUGCAGAAGGAGCUGCGGCUCAGCUGCUUUGAAUGCAGAAGGUCUCAAUAAUAUAUCCAGGCAGGGCGGGGAAACCCUGGGCAACCUGCUGCCAGCCAGAGCAGACAUUACUGAGCUAGAUGGACACCAUGGCUCUAUAUCAUAGAGUCAGAAUUUGAAGGGGUCCCCAUGAUCAUCUAGUCCAACCCCCUGCAAUGCAGGACUAUGCGAUUUUACCAUACGGGGAUCGAACCUGCAGCCUCGGCAUUUAUCAGCACCACGCAACCAAUUGAGCUACCCAGGUACAAGGCAGCUCCUGCUCAAGUCAACUCUAUUUUCUUUUUGUAGAACCACAGAGACGAGAAUCUGUUGUUGUUGUUGUUAUUGUUGUUGUUGUUGUUGUUGUUAAGGGGAAGGUACCAAGUUCAGUUUCACCGCUGGCCUCUCCAGACAGGACAGGGAAAGAGCCUUCUCUGAUACCCUGGAGAGCUGCUGCCUGUCUGUGUGGACAACACCAAGCAAGAUUGACCAGUGUUCUGAUUCAAUGUAAGACACUUACCUCUAUUCCUAUGAAAUCAGUGGCUUGCAUUAUGUGCAACCAGCCCCUUCUGACAGAGGCACAUGGUGGCAGGGGUUUUGUAGGGCGAGAUGUCAGCCAGGGACUGCUCUGUGGCCUGACUCUGGAAGCAAAGUUAGCAGCCCACAGAAAAUUCUCCUCAUCUCUACAUAGCCCCUGUUCCUGGGUGGUCUAGGGCCAGUCACUGAAUCUCUCGGGCUGUUGUGGGGAUUAAAUGGGGAGGGGGGAGAAGAGGAGAACCACCUACGCUACCUUGAGCUCCCUAGAGGAAAAGGUGGGCUAGAAAUGCAAUACAGUGGUACCUCGGGUUACAUACGCUUCAGGUUACAGACACUUCAGGUUACAGACUCUGCUAACCCAGAAAUAGUACCUCGGGUUAAGAACUUUGCUUCAGGAUGAGAACAGAAAUCGUGUUCCGGUGGCGCUGCGGCAGCAGGAGGCCCCAUUAGCUAAAGUGGUGCUUCAGGUUAAGAACAGUUUCAGGUUAAGAACGGACCUCUGGAACGAAUUAAGUACUUAACCCAAGGUACCACUGUACUAAUAAUUCUGCGGCAUAGAAGGGGAGGGGGCUGACUGCCUGAAAUCAGUUCACCGUCAACUCCCUGCAUCAUAGAGUUGGGAGGGACCCAGGGGUCAUCUAGCCCAACCCUCUGAAAUUAAGGAAUGCAUACUUCUCCAGGUACUUGUCUGAAAUGCUUCUUCGCAGAAUAAGCCUGUAGAACUCACUGCCAUGGGAGCACACAUGAGCGGAGAUCAUUUUGCGGCAACAAAAAUCUAGUUCACUGAAAGGUGUCCCUGUCCAUACCUUGUGCUCAGACCAGGCAUAGGCAAACUCAGCCCUCCAGAUGUUUUGGGACUACAACUCCCAUCAUCCCUAGCUAACAGGACCAGUGGUCAGGGGUGAUGGGAACUGUAGUCUCAAAACACCUGGAGGGCUGAGUUUGGGGAUGCCUAGUUUAGACACACACCCUUAUGAAAUCAGGCAUGCUCUUUCAAGAGAAAGUUGGGGGGAGAAGUGACUCUUAUCGUCUCCCCCAAUGCUACAAUUCAGGGUCACUCCAGGCCUCUUUAAGGGUGCUUUUAUUAUCUUCUUGUCCUGAUGCUAUGAGCACCAACUAGUUCCUCAACUCUGCCCCUGUCAGUGGAAACCGCCCUCCCUGCAAAGUCACUCACAAGGUUGGCCAGGGGCUUGGCUUGCCGUCCCCUGCAAUGUCAGGGGCAGAUCUAUGUGAAAUGGCACAUGUGUAAAAUAUCUAGGUUCAAAUCCCCACUCGGCCAAGGUGGCCAAUGAAUUUGGGCCAGUGACAGCCUCUCAGCCUUGUGAGAUAUUCUCAAUUCACGUUUUGCUAUUUCCUCCUUUCUUCCAUGCCCUUGUUAAAUCUCAGCUGGUCUGUAAGCUCCUUAUGCAGCCACACCGGUUUUCUUAGAUGCCUCCCACUUCUCUUUCUUGUUGGUAUCGCCUGCAUUCGGGCCUUCAAUAUUUCACCCAUACUCCCAUCCAUCCUGAAUGAGUCUAUGAUGCCAUGUUACAUAUGCACAUGACAGGAGCUGAAGCUCGCAGAAUUUUCCUGCAAGUUUGCUAGAGAGAACUCUGAGAGAUACUCCUUUUGUGCCCUGACAGCAGGAGGACUUAGCUGUAGCUUCUCUUACCUGCCUGGGCAAAACCUCUUCCCAUCUUUCUGCUCUGCCGGCAAUUUAGUCUAGGUCCAUGUCUCCUCUGCCAUUUUAGAAGUCUGUUUGGACUUGAUAUCCCGCUUUAUCACUACCCUAAGGAGUCUCAAAGCGGCUCACAUUCUCAUUUCCCUUCCUCCCCCACAACAAACACUCUGUGAGGUGAGUGGGGCUGAGAGACUUCAGAGAAGUGUGACUGGCCCAAGGUCACCCAGCAGCUGCAGGUGGAGGAGCGGAGACGCGAACCCGGUUCACCAGAUUACGAGUCUACCGCUCCUAACCACUACACCAUGCUGUAGUCAUCUAGUCAAGAGUCACCUAGUCCAGCCCCCUGCAAUGCAGGAACCGCGGCUCAGGAAUCCCUGACAGAUGCCCAUCCCACCUCUGUUUGAAAGCCUCCAAGGAAAGAGAGUCCACCACCUUCUGAGGGAGCCUAUUCCACUGUCGACACCAUCCCGUGACAUCAGGAAAUCCAAAAAUGGUGAUCUCAACAUUGCCAUGUAUCUUCUACCUUACCACCCUGUCCUUUUUCAGAGACCUGUCCAAUGUCCAUAACCUAAGGUUACCAGAUUUUUUUCAAUGAAUCUGGGGACACAAUAAAUAAAUAAAUACAUACCGUAUUUUUCGCCCUAUAGGACGCACUUUUUCCCCUCCAAAAAUGAAGGGGAAAUGUAUGUGCGUCCUAUGGGGCGAAUGCAGGCUUCGCGCACCUCUCCGCAAGCAGCGCUCCGCUCCCGCUGCUUGCGGAGAGUUGCCUGCAUGCUGAAGCCUGCGCUCGCUGAGCUCAGCACGUCCAGGCUUCGCGGACCUCUCCGCAAGCAGCGGGAGCCAGCGCUGUUUGGGGGCUGGGGUCGGGGGAAGCUCGGGCUUCCCCCGCCCCAGCCCCGCGCCUGGGGGGGGGAAAUAAUUUUUUCCCCUUUAUUUCCCCCCCAAAAAACUAGGUGCGCCUUAUGGGAUGGUGCAUCCUAUAGGGCGAAAAAUACGGUACAUACAUACAUACAUACACGUUCGGGAUGUUGAUGCUGCAGCAAUGGCGGUGGUGGAGGGACGGCCAACGCCUUGACCUCAACCACCAUGUUUCCCCUUCCUCUGAGGCUUCUAUCUCCUUUCUCCAUAAGCCUGGGUGGCAACAAGGCUUGGGUAGCACAAUGCCUCCUUUCCCAUCAGAGCAGUCCCAAUCCCAUUCCUACUUGUGUGUAAGCAGGAGGGGGCGGGGAUUUCUCAGCUGGGAAGGGAGGCUUCCCGUUGCUUAACUGAGAGGUCCCUGCCCCCUCCGGCUUGCACUCAAGCUCUGAUAGGCAGCGUGAAGGCCCCCUUCACAGCUGAGAGAUCCCCGCCCCGCUUGCUUGCACGCAAGUAGGAGUUGGGAGGCUGUUCUGAUAGGCAUCAUGAAGCCUCCCUUCACAGCUUAGUUGCUGGGUCAGGAAGGUGGAGGCAGCCCGGAAGCUGCAUCUUGGAGCCCCUGCGACACCAUCAUAUGGGGACUUCCAAGCAGCUCCUGAAGCCAGCCAGAGCCAACUGCUCCGGGCUGCUGAGACUGCCGCCGCUGCGUUUCCCGGGGACGUUAGAUGAAAUCCGGGGACAUUCCAGGGAUGGUAUUUGUCCGGGGACUUAUUCGCAAAUCCGGGGACUGACCCCGGGAAACGGGGACAUCUACAAUAACCCUACACUAACCCAGCCUGUGUUGCUCCAGGUGCAACAGUGUGUCAAUAUCACAGUUGUGAGAUUUUCAGAAGGCUCUUCCCAGGCCCCUCUGCUAACAAAGCGCUUCUCAAAGUGGGUGCAAAGCCAUUUAUUUAAGAGUGGAUAGCCCAGCUCUGCUCAUCUGACCUGCCUCUCUCUCUCUCUCUCUCUCUCUCUCUCUCUCGGCAUUGCUUUUUCUGCCUGCUAAACUAGAAGCAACAGGAGCGGCGCCACACUGCCUCCCAGCGUGCAUACGACCCCCUGGAUGGUGAGCAAAACAGCACCAGAACCAAGCAUGGGAAUCUUUGCCUCCUGGCUGCAUGGCUGAGAUCAAGUUGGAAAAGCUUCAGGGAAGAGCAAACAAGAUGAGCCAGGAGAGGGAGCGAUUCCCCUGCGAAGAAAGGUUGCAGCAUUUGGGAGUUUUUAAUUUAGUGGAAAGCAAGGAAGCGACCUGAUAGAAGUUUAUAUGUUGGAAAUGUAAAGAGAAAGAAGGUUCUUUUUAUCGUAUGUGGCGGUCUUGUAGUAAGAUUAAAGCUUACUGGGAAAUGAUAUAGAAUGAAUUGAAAAGGAUGUUUAAAAUAACAUUUGUGUAAAACAAAGAAGAAGAAGAAGAAGAAGAAGAAGAAGAAGAAGAAGAAGAAGAAGAGGAGGAGAAGAAGAAGAAGAAGAAGAAGAAGAAGAAGAAGAAGAAGAAGAAGAAGAAGAAGAAGCAGCAGCAGCAGCAGCAGCAGCAGCAGCAGCAGCUUUUCCUUGGGGAAUUAUAGGGACAGAACUACCUAAACUGUAUAGAAACUUAUUCAUGUAUAGGUGGCAAGAACGUUACUCACCCAAAAAUGGAAAGAAGCAGAAGUCCCAGCAAAGGAAGAAUGGAUACAAAAAGUUAUGGAAUAUGCAGAAAUAAUGAAACUUACCGGAAGAGCAUUGGCAGGAUUAUUGCAAUAACCUGCAAUUUUAUAAGAGUAUAUAUAUUUAAAGUAGAUGAAUAAAUGAGCAAAUUAAAUUAAUUUGGAUAUACAGAAGAUAUUAAAAAUAAAUUUAAGGAAAUUGAGAAAGAGGGGGGAGGAAGUCAAGUUUUGAAAUGUUAAAAUGAUUGUAAUUAGUGAAAUCUAUAAACCCGAAAAAUAUAAAUAAAUUUUAUAUAUUAAAAAAAAGUUUAUAAGAUUGUGCAUGGCAGAGAAAAGGGGGAGAGCGAAAGGUUUUCCUUUGUCUUCAUAGCACUAGAACUCAUGGACUUCCAAUUAAGCUGAACAUUGAAAGAUUCGGGAAACAGAAAAGGAAGUGCUCCACACAGCACAUAUAUAAACUGUGGAACUCCCUGCCACAAGAGGCAAUGAUGGCCACCAACAUGGAUGGAUUUAAAAGAGGAUUGGACAAUUUCAUGGAGGAGGAGACAGCUAUCGGGUGCGCUGCUUCUGAAUACCAGUUGCUGGAAACCACAGGAGGGGAGAGUUGCUCUUGUGCUCAAAACCUGCUUGCCAGUUUCCCAUAUAGGUAUCUGACUGGCCACUGGGAGAACAGGAUGCUGGGCUAGGUGAACCUAGCUGAGUUUCCUGCAUUGCAGGGGGUUGGACUAGAUGAACCUUGGUGUCCCUUAAAGGUAAAGGGACCCCUGACGGUUAGGUUCAGUCGCAGAUGACUCUGGGGUUGCGGCCCUCAUCUCGCUUUACUGGCCGAGGGAGCCGGCGUACAGCUUCCGGGUCAUGUGGCCAGCAUGACUAAGCCGCUUAGGAAACGCUGUUUACCUUCCCGCCAGAGCGGUACCUAUUUAUCCACAUGCACUUUGACGUGCUUUCGAACUGCUAGGUUGGCAGGAUCAGGGACUGAGCAAUGGGAGCUCACCCCGUCGUGGAGAUUCAAACUGCCGACCUUCUGAUCGGCAAGCCCUAGGCUCAGUGGUUUAACCCACAGCGCCACCCGCGUCCCCCUGGUGUCCCUUACAACUCCACAGUUCUAUGAUUCUAUGAACCAUCACCUGAUCUAGCAAUGCUGCCCAUUGGCCUAAUGUGGUACCUCAGGUUAAGAACUUAAUUCGUUCUGGAGGUCCGUUCUUAACCUGAAACUGUUCUUAACCUGAAGCACUACUUUAGCUAAUGGGGCCUCCCACUGCUGCUGCAUGAUUUCUGUUCUCAUCCUGAAGCAAAGUUCUUAACCCAAAGUACUAUUUCUGAGUUAGCAGAGUCUGGAAGCUAAAGCGUCUGUAACCCGAGGUACUACUGUAAUACGUUUGCUUGGGAAAAUCCACCUGUGAGAAUAUAUUGCAUGAAAACAGUGGGUUUCCCCAGCAGUCCUCCAGAGUCUGUUCAGCCUGGCUUUCCGCAGAUAAAGCUUGCCAGUCGUGCCCCCUCGGCCAGCUCCAAGAGCAAUAAAAUAGCCACACAUCCCAUUAAGCAGAACAAACAAGAACACCUCCACUCUCUGCUGCCACCGCCUGCCUGCCAUCCCCGCUGUCUUCCUGAGGUUCCAGUUACUCUCCACAGCAGAAGGAGAGCAGCGUGUGCUUGUUGCCAGAAUAGAACGGAAUUCCUGACAACCAGGCAGAGCCCGCCUUCCAGGGCUGCUGUGCGUCUUGGAUCCCGACAAGCCACACGGGCGGGUGACCUUCUCAGCUGACUGGCGCUGCCUCCUCUCAUGCGCAUAGCACUCCUUUUGUGGAACAGAACAUUUGCCUGCCAUAAAACCGGAGAGGCGCAGCCAACAGGAGGAUGUCGCCGGUGCAAUUUGCCAUUUUUUUAAUUGGCAACGCGCUUUAGGAGUCUUUAGCAACCCUUCGAGGGCAAAGUCAAUUACUCUCAUCUAGCAGAUAGCGGACUUUAUUGCUCUCUGUUACUGUGUGCUGCCAACGGGGAUGGCUUGCUGGAAAGGAUAAGGACAUAAAAAGAGGUUGCUGGAUCAGGCCAGUGCCAGCAUCCUGUUCUCAUGGGCAGCAACCAGAUGCCCAGGCUGAGGAACCCCCUCCUGCAGAACUUUCCUGGCACCUUCAUCAUGCAACUUCUGGGGAACGCAGAAGGCUUUUAAACUGUUCUUAAUGUUGUGCUAUAAUGUUGCAGCCUGCUCUGGUGCCUUAGGAGGAAGAAUGAGCAAUGCCUACAUGCAGAAUGAUCUGGAACAAAGAACCAUAGAAUUCUACAAUUGGAAGGGACCCCAAAAGUCAUCUAGUCCUUGCAAGGGCAGGAUCACAGCUAAAGUAUCCUGUAUACCUGAAGGAACAUCUCCACCCCCAUCGUUCAGCCCGGACACUGAGGUCCAGCACCGAGGGCCUUCUGGCGGUUCCCUCCCUGCGAGAAGUGAAGCUACAGGGAACCAGGCAGAGGGCCUUCUCGGUGGUGGCGCCUGCCCUAUGGAAUGCCCUCCCAUCAGAUGACAAGGAGAUAACCAAUUACAUGAAGGCAGCCCUGUAUCAGGGAGUUUUGAAUGCCUGAUGUUUAGUUGUGUUUUUAUAUUAUGUUGGAAGUCAUCCAGAGUGGCUGGGAAAACCCAGUAAGAUGGGUGGGGUACAGAUUGAUUGAUUGACUGAUUAUCUAUCUAUCAUCUAUCUCUCUAUCUAUCUAUCCUGCAUUGCAGGGGGUUGGACUAGAUGACCCUCAGGAUCCCUUUCAACUCCAGGAUUCUAUUGCUGUUGUUGUUAGUAGGAGUAGUAGUAGGAGUAGUAUGCUUGAGAGGUGGGUACCCAACCUCUGUUUAAAAGCCUCCAAUGAAUGUUUAAAAACCAUUGCUGAAUGUCACCUGCUUCCAGACAAGGUAUCCCGUGAUGCUAUCAAGGCCAGUCUAUUCCACUGGUAAAUAAUCCUUCAGAAGCAUCUGAACAUCAUUAUCUCCUCUUUGGAGAUGAGCCAGCGGAGGAUGACAAGUCCCACGAUUUGAGGUUGAUGCAAACAUCCUCAAAACCUCAAGCCAAAUGGUUGCCAUCUGGACAAAUUGAUGAGGUGCAGAGCUGGGGUAUCUCUCUCCACGCGAAGGGGACACAAAGUCCAGACCAGGUUCUGCGGCACGGAAAGGUUAUGAGCACAGAAUGUUUUCAAAAAAUAUUGACAAGCUGGAAGGUGUGCUGAGGAAGGAGACCGAAAAUGAUUUGGAAACCCAGCCUUAUAAGGAAUGGUGGAGGGAACUGCGCAUAUUUAGUCUUUGAAAGAGGAGGCUGAGAGGAGAGGUGAUAGCCAUCUAAAGAGCUGUCGUGUGGAAGAUGGAGCAAGCCUGUUUUCGGCUACUCCAGAAGGGAGGAUUUGAACCAAUUAAUUCAAAUGACAAGAAAGGAGAUUCUGACUCAACAUUGGGAAGAACUUUCUGAGGGUGAGAGCUGUUUGACAGUGCAGCAGACUCUCUCAGAAGGUGGAUUCUCCUUCGUCCGAAGUUUCUGAGCAGAGGUUGGAUGGCCACCUGCCAGGGAUUCUUUAGCUGUGUUGUAGGGGGCUGGACUAGAUGACCCAUGGGGUCCCCCUGCAACUCUACAAUUCUAUGGGGGAAAGAUGUUUUCAAAAGUGCUAGGAAAAUGUGCAGCACAGAAGGGAGAAAUCACAGGGACUGAGUUGGCUGGUGGUCAUAAGGUGUAGUUCAGAAGGUGCUCAGCAAAAAGAGAUCUAAAGUAGACAAACGUGUUCUAGGUCUUUGUUCACCUGAUAUCAUUGAUGGGGACUUAGAAUCAUAGAAUCAUAGAGUUGGAAGAGACCACAAGGGCCAUCGAGUCCAACCCCCUGCCAAGCAGGAAACACCAUCAGAGCACUCCUGACAUAUGGUUGUCAAGCCUCUGCUUAAAGACCUCCAAAGAGGACUUCAUGUAACAUUGAAUUAAUCUAUGGAAAAACUUCUGGGAAAUGAUAUGUAAUGAGAGGAAAAAGAUGUUGAAAUAUACAUUAAUUAAGAAACCAGAAGCAUUUUUACUUGGCAUUGUAGGAGAUAUUAAUAGACAGGAUUGUAAGUUGUUUUUAUAUGCAAUGACAGCAGCAAGAAUAUUAUUGGCACAAAAAUGGAAGCAAGAAGAACUACCGACAAAAGAAGAAUGGAGGUUGAAGUUGAUGGGCUAUGCAGAAUUAGAUAAAUUAACAGGAAGGAUUCGAAACCUGCAGCAUCAGAGAUUCUUAGAAGACUGGAGUAAAUAUAUUAAUUAUUUGAAAAGUAAUUGUGAUGGACAGAUUAUGCUAGUAGGACUGCAAGAAGUUUUGUAAGGUGG
RNAcentral lists this long non-coding RNA (82784 nucleotides) under Podarcis lilfordi (Lilford's wall lizard). Lineage: Eukaryota; Metazoa; Chordata; Lepidosauria; Squamata; Lacertidae. The record is from RNAcentral.